CAUUUUAAGCCAAAUUCCACGAAGGGGCUCGGGAUUAGCUCGGAAGCCUUGGGAUCCGUACAAAAGGUCCUUCUAGACCAGACUCAACAUUUCAGCGCUAAUAAAACUGGCAGUGUUGCAUUUUGAGGCCGUCUUUCUAAAGUUUUGACCAAAGUCAACCAUUCAAGUUUCAGAAGCUUUGAAGCACGGAAACUUACAUAGAAUCCAAACGAGCGACCAGGUGAUCGAAUUGUCAAUCCUAGCACUUGUGAAUAUUAAGGCUGCACAAAUACACUACACCCAAAGACUCAAAUGUAGAUCAGUGGUUAAUCUAGAAGUAGGAAAGUAUGUCUUGAACAUACUGAAAGAGGUUUUAAAACCUAGAACACGGGAAGCCAUCCUAUUAAUAAGAUAGGUGGAUGUCAAAAGAGCUUCUCCUCAAAGAAAUUUAGGGACUCCAAUUGUGAAUAUUAAGGCUCUAGUUACCUCCAUAAGAUGCAUAUAUUUUCUCUUAGCUACUCCAUUUUGUUGGAGUGUAUUAGGACAUGAACUUUGGUGCAUUAUUCCCUUGGAAGUGAAAAAAUUGCCUAAAUGGUCAUUAAAAUACUCUCCCAUUAUCACUCUGAAAUAUUUCAAUCUUCUCAUGAAAUUAUAUCUCGGACCUAACUUAAAAAGCCUCAAACAUAUGUUUUACUUCACUUUUGUCUUUUAAUAGGUACCAAGUUAGUCUAGUGUGAUCAUUUAUGAAACUCACAAAUCACCUUUUCCCAUUUACAGUUGUUACCUUAGAAGGUCCCCAAACAUUGCGAUGGAUUAACUUAAAGUGUUUUGUGGCAUGGUAUUUUUGGGAAGAAAAGGAUGAACGUCUGUGUUUUGCCAUUUCACAAAAUUCAUACUGGAAAGAAGAUGUACUUUUAUUCAUAAACAACUAAGGUAACAAGAGUUUCAAAUAUGAAAACUAGGAUGACCAAGUCUAUAGUGCCAUAACAUGACUUUAUUAUCAACUUGAACAAAGUUAAAACAAGCUGAACUAAAAUUUUGCUGAGUUGUCCCCGUUUUCAAGAAAAUAGAGACCUUCAGACUCUCUAGCAUAGCCAAUCAUCUUCCCCGAGACCUUGUCCUGAAAUACGCAUGAAAUAGAAUCAAAGAUAGCACCACGAUUAAGGUUUUAAGUCAAUUUGAUGAUGGACAAAAGAUUAUGAGAUAAUUUUGGAACAUGAAGGACACAAAAAAGUGUCAAGAGAGGGGUUAGUUUGAUCGUCCCUUUUCCAGCAAUUGCUGAGAAGGAACAUCAACAACUUUGACUUGUUUAUUUCCUUCUAUAAAGGAGUGUAGGUUGAGAAAAAAUGGAAAUUCCAUGUCAUGUGAUCAUUAGCCCCCGAAUCUAUGAUUCAAGGACUUAUCUGUACUCACAAAAAUGGAUGGUACAUUACCUGCUUGGGAAUAAGAACAAGUGGGAGUAGAAGGAUCAGAUUUAUUGGUUUGGAGUUGAGGUUGGAGAAAUUUUUGCAGUAGCUCUACUUGUUCCUUAGUGAAAGGUCGCAUUUCUAGAGAAGAUUGUAGCCCUGAUGCUGAAAUGCCCGACCAUGGUUGUCUGCCAUUUUUUUUGUUCCAGCUAGGUGGUCUCCUAUCCUAUGGAUAUUCCAGCAAGUCUUACGAGUGUGCCCAUAUUUUUUGCAAAAAUUACACCACGGCUUCAUUGUUGUCUCGGUCAAAAUUUUGUUAAUAGAACUCUCGACUUCUAUUGAUGUUGCUGGGUGACGUAGCCCGGUCAAUGUUGUUUUAGUUACAAGAAUAACCUUGCUCUGAUACCAUGAAAGUUUUGGUACCAAAAUUGUACAAUUUUAUUCAUCCAUAGAGAUACAAAUUUAUUGUAUAGAAAAAUAAACUAGCUAGCAAUCAGAUCCCUUGAUUCUAGGAAAUUUGAGAAUCAAGGGAUGAUUCUAAUAUCCUAACCUAUUCAAUAGCAUAUCAGAUAUGAUUUUGUUCGAUCAAUUUAAAUCCUACAAAAUCAUAUCCAAUCACACUUAGGUAUUUACAAAUCAACAAACCCUUUGGGGUGGGCCAGUGGACCCUUCGGGGUGGCCCAGUGGUUUGAGCUUGGGACUUCCAUGUUGGAGGUCUCAAGUUCGAAACCCCUUGCCAGCGAAAGCAAGGGGUUUGCCUUAUGGGUCGAGCUCGUCGCACCAGGCUUGCCUAGUGCGGAUUACCUAUUCUAUGUGGUUUGCGAGCUAUUGCAUAGGAGCGGAGUUUUUACCCAGUGCGCACCCAAAGGGUAGCGGCUGCGGGUUUCCCUUGUCAUAAAAAAAAAUCAACAACAACUAUCCUGAUACUGUAUGUUGAUUAUAUCAUACUUACGGGAGAUGACUUGCCAGAAAUGAAGAAUUUAAAGAAACAGGUGGCCUCAGAAUUCGAGAUCAAAGAUUUGGAUCAAUUGAAAUAUUUUCUUGCCAUGGAAGUAGCAAGAUCAAAAGAAGGCAUUAUGGUGUCACAAAGGAAAUAUGUACUAGAUCUUCUAAAAGAGACAGGCAUGAGUGGUUGUCGUCCAUCUGAAUCACUUAUUGAUCCGAAUAUAAAAUUCGGAAACAAAGAUGGAAAUUUAGUUGACCAACGUCAAUAUACUUAUCACACACUCGACCUGAUAUAGCUUUUGUUGUAAGCUUAGUCAGUCAAUUUAUGCACUCUCCGAAGAAAGAGCACCAAGAAGCGGUCUACAGAAUUCAAAGAUAUCUGAAAAGCUCACCAGGGAAAAGACUGUUUUUCAUAAAAGGUCAAGAUAAAGGCGUUGAAAGCUUUAAAGAUGCAGACUAGGCAGGUUCUACUAUUGAUAGGAGGUCUACAUCAGGAUAUUGUACUUAUAUCUGGGAAAUCUCGUGACUUGGAGGAGUAAAAAGCAGAAUGUUGUAGCCCGUAGCAGUCCUGAAGCUGAAUAUCGAUCUAUGGCCCAUGGGAUCUGUGACAUGACUUGGCUCAAGAAGAUGAUGGAAGAACUAAAGAAACUGUUUGUGUUACCAAUGAAGUUAUACUAUGACAACAAAGCCGCCAUAAGUAUUGCUCACAAUCCAGUUCAACAUGACAGAACAAAGCAUGUUGAAGUGGAUAGGCACUUCAUAAAAGAGAAGAUUGAAAAAGAAAACGUGUGCAUACCUUUUGUCCCAACAAAUCAGCAAAUUGCGGAUAUUUUCACAAAAGGCUUGUUUAAACCAAAGUUUGAAAUUCUUGUAAGCAAGUUAGGCAUGAAAGAUAUUUACAUGUCGACUUGAGGGGGAGUGUUGAUUUGUAAAUAUCUAAGUGUGAUUAGAUAUAAUUUUGUUUAAAUUGAUCUAACAGAAUCGUAUCUAAUAUGUUAUUGAAUAGGUUAGGAUAUUAGAAUCAUCCCUUGAUUUCUCAAAUCUCCUAGAAUUAAGGAAUCUGAUUGCUAACUAGUUUAUUUUUCUAUACUAUAAAUUUGUAUGAAUAAAAUUGUACAAUUUUGGUACCAAAAUUUACAGCUACAAUUGUACAAUAAGUGUGGUGUGCUUCACAACCAUAGGAAAGACUUAUACUAGACACGUCUUCUAAUGUGAAUCUGAUCUCCUGUCUGUGUACCAGAACCUGCCUUUUGAAAUGCAAAGCCCCAAAGUCAAGGACGUAAGUACAUAUGAAAUUGUAUUGUAUGUAAGGGCAGAAUGAAACAUAACUGAAAGAGAAACAGGACAACCAAUGGAGACAUAAUCAAAACAUGGAACAAUCAAGCGAUCGAAAAUAAUUAAGUUGACCUUAACGUUCGUACUUCGUAGUUCAUCAUUCAUCAGUUUAUUAUGAGAGUUUAUUAGUAUAAUCGACAUAAUCCACCAUGGGAGCACAUGGAGUCUGAUCUUGGCCCGAUUAGCUAGGCCUUUCCAUACCUUGUUGGGUGUGAAACAUACAUAACAUAGUUUUGCUAGCAAAAGAUCGAUAAUAUGCCUUGUUGGGCAACCUAGAAGAUACGCCCAACUCUACGGUGCGAUCCAAAUCUUAUGUCGGCAAACGUAGUUUCGGGCACGUGUCGUAUAGACUAAUGCCUUCUCGGUUAACCAUAUUACUCCCUUCAUUUGAUGUUCAUAAUUCAGCCCGAAGUCUCAUAAUCGUAACUCAUGCUUUGUUUUAAGAGCUCAUAAUCAUGGUUGCAAAAAUCAUAAGUAUUCAUAUGUCAUAAUUCAUGAAACAAAAAUCAUGGAAAAAUCAAGUCAUUAUAGCAUAAUGUUUAUAUUUGACAAAAAGGGCAUAAUCGUAAUUUAGUAGAACAUGCAUGGGAUUAAACUUGAGAAAAUUUAUAGGAUUCAUGGUGUUCGUAGUGAGUCUUCAUGGACAAAGAACAUCAAAAUCAUACCUACCCCCUAGUCAUCUCAUGGAGGAGAAACUUUCGGGUUUUUCAAUAAAACAAGUUGACGCAGGGAAGAUCAAUAACGUUCCCACCCGAAGGGAUAGUCUUACAUGCCUUUAAUCGUAACUAAUCACAGAUAAAUAUCCAAUAUAAGAAUGUUCAAAACCCUAGGCGUGACCUUGUUGAGUCCUUGAAGAUCCUUUGAUCAUGGAUUAGAAUUACGUUAUAGAUUCAAUUACGGUAAUAGAAUUUCUUAGAAUUGAAUUGAUCAGCGUAGGAAGCUACAGAUUACAAAUUUAUUUCUCUACCUUUGAUACUGUAUAAUUAGGGAGAAUGGGUAUAAUAUGAUUGAGCAGUGUCAGAAUUCUAUCGAACUUCGUUAGGUUUUGACAUAAACUACAUUGAUUACAAAUUAGGUAAGCUACAGAUUCUAGGCUAGAUUACAUGUCCUAGCACCUAAUACUCACAUGCUAGGCACAGUCACAAUAGCUAAAUCAAUGCAAAGUAGGGAAAUAAUCUCAACACUCCCAAAUUAUCCUCCGAAAUUAUGUUCAUAUUUGGUUACAUUUCACAUAAAAGGCAUCACUUUCUCUCAGGUUGAAGUUGAGCUUACUAUACCUCAUGAAGACAAACUACGUCAGUUGAAGUUGGAGCUUUUGAGCAAACAUCAGAUACCAAUUCUUAAAGAUGUCAAUGGAUUCAGUUCCUCUGAGAAUUCGUUUGCACUCAAGUUUGUAUCUCCUUACCAAGUUUAAUUUUUGAUAAUAUAGAUAUUUGUAUGUAUCAGCAAACAAUAUUACAGAUAUAGUUGGUUUACUAGCUGAUGGCUGCUGUUAAGAUAUGAUAAUGCUGUUAAGUUCUUUUUCAUAACCACUCUCACCCCCUCUCCCUCUUCAGGGAAGUUAGGUCUGCUGACGCUCAAGGUAGGGGAAUUCCACAGUCAAUUCGUGCAUUUGCUCGUGUUCUGUGCUCCAAUUCUCCACAAGGUCCUAGGGUCAUCUUUUUUUCCGUGCAUUUGUUCAGCUAUUUGUACAGUCAAUAUUUCCUAUUUCACAUUAUACUAACCUUGUUUAAACUGUAACAUGUAGAGAUAAAUGAUUUGGCCAUGGAAGAUGCAGAAAAUGAUGGUCGGGUGGCUCGGCGUCCACUAAAGGACAAGAGCAGAGAGAUUUUAGCACAUCAGUUUUUGCUCUCAAAAAUCACUGGGCUAAUAGAUGAGUAUAAUGUAUCUAUUAAGGUAAGAAUAAAUAGUUUAUUCAUAUGUUUUAGAAAGAUUCAUAUAGAUUCAGCACGGAACCACAAAUAAGAAUUUGUUAGGUGCCAGUGAUCUGGAUAGUACUUUUGCUGACAGGCCAUACCGAGAGAGAAGUGGAUAUUUCAAACACCAGAGUUGCAAGUUACUUUGCAGGCACUGCUGAUGAAAAUCAUGAAAUGCAAAAAACUUGUAUUAUAUUAUUUAAUGCUAAACCAGCACAAAAUGAUGCAGAAGACUAAGUUGAGUUCUCUAUGCAAGAUGCAUUUCUACUUGGCCGCUAAAGGGGGGCAGCAGCCCUUAGAUGGAUCUCCUGCCACCCAUGCAGGAAGGGUUGCGCUAACAAUAAGUUUCAACCCCCCUUUGUAUGGGAUUGACAUAUGCUUACAACUACUAUGCAGUAGUGAGGGAAAAUGCCAUAAUGGCUUCAUGACUCUAGCUUUUAGCGAAGGAAAUAUGACUUUUUCUUCUUUUAAGGUGUCUCCUGCUACUUCCACUUUUUUUUUCCAGUAAAAUUGCAGCCUUCAAGAGUAGUAAGAAGUAGGGUGGGCAUUCAGUUCUUCGUGUUGGUUCGGUUAUUCAAUAGUGAAUAUGUUUGGGUCGGUCUUUUCUAAUUUGGUUCUUAGGUAUGGGCCUUAUUAAUGCGCUACUUUUCUUCUUGUUAAAUGGCUAUUUUUUUAAGGGAUUCUUACAUGGAUACCGCACAACAAAAUUUCAGCUAAUGGCCGCCUGUAUAUGUAAUGUAUCUAUCUUAUAUAAAUAGUGUAUAGCCGUAUAUAUAUGAUGUAUAACUGUGUAUAAGAGAUGUAUAUGCAUACUUAUACAUUGUUAUACAAUAUUUAUACAUUGUUAUAUAAUGUAUCUAUAUGUAUAAAUAGUGUAUAAGCAUGUAUAUAUGAUGUAUAAAUCUAAGUUUCUCUGACACUUCACUUUUGAUGUUGCACCCGUGUCGACACGACAUGGGUGUGGGAUCCGUGUCCGAUUUGGUCAACCAAUUUUGGGCACUUUGACCAAAAUCAAUGGGGAAAGUUUGAACAGUUUUAAUGAUUUAUGUAAUCAAUACAAAAGCUAAGGUGAAAUUGAAGAAAAUGGAAUACCUUUUAUAUUGAAAUUUCUAUGUCACUCCUUUUCCUUUAAUCUCCUUCCUGGAUUCUCCUCAAGUUCUCCACAUAAUAUCUCAUAAUUUAGGUUUUAUAACUUUAUUUUUAGAUGCUUUAAUUAUUUUGAGGCGAAUCCCCGCACCAGUAUCCAUACAUGGAUCCAUAUCCCCGCAUCUUAAAAAUUAGAUCAUGAAGGAUCCAACUUUUAGAUCCACACCCAUAUGAGACAGCCGCACUCGAGUCCGAGCAACUUAUGUAUAAACAAUGUAUUCACACUAUUAUACACAAAAUCAAAUGCUAACCAGGUUGUCUUCUUCAUCAACUAUUCAAUUGCUCGAAUCGGUGCGAAACAUGUCUUCUUCAUCAACUGCUCAAAUCGGUUCGAAACAUUUCCAAUCAACAUUAAUCUAUCUCCCAAAGUAGACCUCAGACAUGGAGAGAAAGGAGAAAAGAACUUGUCAUACAGACGAUCAAGGAAUAACUUGGCACCGCCAAAACGACAUUAGAGGUUUGUUGGAUGACGGAAUGGGUGUAAUAGCGAAGGUUGUGCGAGACUCUUAUAUUGCUGGCACCGCCAACUUCUACAAUUUUGUUCACCACCGAUCGCAACCAUGGCAUCGCCAAUCAAAUAAUUGAGUUUUGGUUAGAUUCUCCCAUUGUUGUGAAAGGUGAUCGCCUUGUUGCCAAUGAGGCGAGACAACCCUUCAUCCCCUUUCAGCUUUGUGACGAUGCAAUCUUCAAAAGGAGAUGCCAUGGAGAAAAUGGCGACAAAAGCGAGAGGCAACAAAGGCGUUGCCUUUUGUAUUUUCUUAAAAACAGGCGACCAAUUUAGGGUUUUAAAAGUUAAAAAAGGUAAUUUUAGGGUUUUCUUUUCAAAAUGUACAAUUACACUCUUAGACUGCGACUGCAACUCCGACUCCAACUAGUCAUCCGUGACCAGGCGGACUUUUCCAGCAACUCCAAAGUCCAACCAAUACGUAUUUCUUCUUUUCUUCUUCUAAUUUCUUUCUUUUUCUUAUUCAGAUUUCUUCUUCCUCUAUUUUUUUCCUUCUUCUUCAGGCUUCAGAGUUACUUCCACCUCUAUUUUUUCUCACUGAUUUGACUUUUGUUAUGUUUUUUUCUCAUUCAAGUUCUAGACUUAUAAUAUGUACCAUCUAUUUUUAAUUUUUCAAUUCAAAUAUUUGCUUGUAUGUUAUUGCAAUUGAGAUUUUGAUUAUUUAUAUAUGCAAUUAAAUAUUUUAAUUUUUUGGUAUUAAUUGGAGCCGCACUUCAAAAAGGUGAACACCUCGCCACUCGCCUCACCUUGUGGCGAGGCCGACCCUUGUUGCCUUUUGUCAAAUGUCUUCUUUUGCCGUCCAAAACAUUGAUUCUCCAAUGGAUGACACUGAAGAAGAAGAAAUGGAAUGAGACACUGGAACUGGAGUUUUUUUUUGUAUAAGAGACGAAGGAAGAGGUCAGAUUGUUCAGUAGAGAGAGAGACGGAGGAGAAAACAAAGGAGGAAAAUAAGGCUAUCCGCUUAUAUCUAAAAAUAAGCAAUAAUUGGGCUAUUUUGGGUAAGAACUAUGGUCGAAUGGUCACCUUGCCUAAUUUUCUCUUUUUUAAAAUUUCCAAAUGGAUUAUUUUGUGUUUUUCCUUUAAAAGAAAAAGGGGCCCACAAAGACAGUUACAAACGCAGCAAGUAAGAAAACUGUUACUGCUAAUAAUGUUGCAGCUGCUGCUAUUACAGAUGGUUUGUGUAUUAUGAUUCAUUAACCUCACAUCUGGUUAAUAAGUUCAACAAUAAAAUAAGGCAAAAGUUGAAUUAAUACUCUUAUUAACUGAUGAUCAGAAAACAGUGGAAUUUAACGAACCUCAGAAUUUAUUAAUUACUUUUAAGAACAAUCAUGAUGAUUUCAACAGUUCUAAUUCUAGUAUAGUGUUUUCUUGAAACUUCCCUACAGAAUCUUGAUACAAAAUAUUUUGUGAAAGCAAAAGGAGUGGGACAACUCAUAUUCCAACGGAGUACAUCAAGAACCAAAAACUCCAUUCUCCUUAUGUCACUCGUAAUUAAGUUAAAGUUUUUCAUAGGAUAAUUCUGAUAAUGCUGGCACAUUUCCUCUGUUUUCAUCCAUUUUUGCUGCCAAUAAUAUACAGGCUUCUGAUAAUAACCUCACUGCCCUGUAUUAGCAGUAGCAGUAGUAGUAGACAAGACAUGACUCACUUGCAGCUCAUCUAGGACAUGACUGUAGAUAGAAAGAUAUGGAUGUCGAGGAUUAGGGUAGAAGGGUAGUAGGUUGAGCAUUGUCUAGUUCGCUUUUCAAUAUUGUUAUUAUUACUCUCCCACUAUCUUAUUCUUUGAUAUUAGUAUACUGGUUGUUUCCUUUGCUUCAAUUAUCGUAUCGUUUUUUUGUUGCUACUUGCCUUUUCUUCUUUGUUUUCAGCAUAACUUCGUCGACUGUGUUUGCUUUACAUACUUGAUUUUUAUAUGCUUUACUUGAGCCGAGGGUCUAUCAGAAACAACCUUUCUACCUUCACAAGGUAGGGGUAAGGCUGCAUACAUCCCACCUUCUUCUUCUGAUCCAACUUGUGGGAUUAUAAUGGGUAUGUUGUUGUUAGUAGCAGUAAUUAGUCAGGCAGAAGUAAUAAUUUUUUGUAAUAAAACUUCGGUGAACCGGACCCUAUAACCGAGAUACGAAUAGCAAAGUUUUAGAAAAAUAGAACCGAAAAACUGAAAUCGAAGAACUGAAUUAGUAUGGUUUGGUCCGGUUUUCAGUAUUUAUGUUCUGCUUACCCCUAGUAAGAAGUGCGCUUAUUACUUCAAUCCAGCAUAUUACUCCGUUCAUUAUUAUAAUACUAUGUGUCCUGUAUAUGGGAAAGACAUUACUUAUUAACUUUAUCAUUUUCUAAGUUCGUCCAAUGUCUGGCUGAAUAAUGGAUGCCUCACAUUGUCAUGGAAAUGCAUAUUGUUCUUUGGAUACAUGACAUUAUAGGAAACAGUUAUUUCCUGGCAGACAUCACUGUGUGAUUAAUGGUAGAAAUAAUCAGUCUGUUCAUUUGGCACUCUUGAACUUUUCACUUUUGCCUAUUCAGUCAUUGGAGCUGCCUACUCUCUGCAUGGUUGGAAAACUUGAUAUGCGGAGACAAAUGGCUCAAUACCUUCUCACGGGUGAGCUUCGUGUACUGAAAUCUGCUGCACUAUGGCUGGAAAAUUAUUGUAAAACUUAAUCAAGAGUUUAGACAACAUGCUUAUGCUCAUUUGAGAAGCAAAAAGCUAAUUGCUGGUGGAGUCAGGUGCAAACUUUAGUUAUCAUAAUUUGAAUGGGCAGUUUUUCUUAAGGUGUUGUAUUUGAUUGAAUGACCUUGGAUCCUAUUAAAUAUAAGAAUUUGUUCUGUUUGCUUUCCUACUGAUGGAAAACAAUGAUCUUCAUUUGGCAUUAGGGCAUAAAUCAUCUAUACUGUCACUGCAGAUAAUUUUGCUCCCUGUGGGGGAAGUCUGGUUUCCUCAAGUCUAAACUUAUUGAACUUGCAUGUAAUCUUUUAGUUGACGAGGCCUUGCAUAGCUGCUAAAAUAGUUCUCAGGCCACUGUACAUUGAUGAGUAGAUGAGUACUGCGUGAUGGUUUCCCAAAAAAGUAGGAGGAAUCAACACUUGUUUUAACAUAAUGAAGAUACCAUUUUUAAACAAUUGAUAUGAUUGGCAUGUAAAUAUUCUGAAAAUAGAGUUGCUCUGAUUCAUCAUUCAGUGAUUACUGAGCCAAUUCAUCAUUAUACCCUUUUCAGGCUACAUUGUUUGCUCUCAUAUAGAUGCAGAUAUAAUAUUGGGGAAAGGGAGGUCCAAUUUUUCUUUCCUGGAAUGUUUAAACUGCAAUUUUAUGGGGAACAAUAUUAUUAGAAUCAACUAUAAUACUAUAGGUAUUGUAAAAUUUUCACUCGUCACAUUGCGGAUGAGAAGAUGCAUGAAGCAUGGAAAGAGGGGAAAAGACGAUUGAUUAACCACUAGACUCUUCUCAUGGAUAACAUAGUUGUGUUCAGAAAUUCCUGAACUUGUACAAUAAGCUCCCUGCCUUUCGUUUUCUGUAACUUAUCUUCCAGUUUCUCUUUUCCUUAUCUGUCUUUUUGGUUGCUUUGUCUAUGUCUUCUUAAUGAAUGUAUUCCUAUUGGCUCUCAUAGCUGUUAAAUUGUGAGCUGUCUUUUAUUNNNNNNNNNNNNNNNNNNNNNNNNNNNNNNNNNNNNNNNNNNNNNNNNNNNNNNNNNNNNNNNNNNNNNNNNNNNNNNNNNNNNNNNNNNNNNNNNNNNNNNNNNNNNNNNNNNNNNNNNNNNNNNNNNNNNNNNNNNNNNNNNNNNNNNNNNNNNNNNNNNNNNNNNNNNNNNNNNNNNNNNNNNNNNNNNNNNNNNNNNNNNNNNNNNNNNNNNNNNNNNNNNNNNNNNNNNNNNNNNNNNNNNNNNNNNNNNNNNNNNNNNNNNNNNNNNNNNNNNNNNNNNNNNNNNNNNNNNNNNNNNNNNNNNNNNNNNNNNNNNNNNNNNNNNNNNNNNNNNNNNNNNNNNNNNNNNNNNNNNNNNNNNNNNNNNNNNNNNNNNNNNNNNNNNNNNNNNNNNNNNNNNNNNNNNNNNNNNNNNNNNNNNNNNNNNNNNNNNNNNNNNNNNNNNNNNNNNNNNNNNNNNNNNNNNNNNNNNNNNNNNNNNNNNNNNNNNNNNNNNNNNNNNNNNNNNNNNNNNNNNNNNNNNNNNNNNNNNNNNNNNNNNNNNNNNNNNNNNNNNNNNNNNNNNNNNNNNNNNNNNNNNNNNNNNNNNNNNNNNNNNNNNNNNNNNNNNNNNNNNNNNNNNNNNNNNNNNNNNNNNNNNNNNNNNNNNNNNNNNNNNNNNNNNNNNNNNNNNNNNNNNNNNNNNNNNNNNNNNNNNNNNNNNNNNNNNNNNNNNNNNNNNNNNNNNNNNNNNNNNNNNNNNNNNNNNNNNNNNNNNNNNNNNNNNNNNNNNNNNNNNNNNNNNNNNNNNNNNNNNNNNNNNNNNNNNNNNNNNNNNNNNNNNNNNNNNNNNNNNNNNNNNNNNNNNNNNNNNNNNNNNNNNNNNNNNNNNNNNNNNNNNNNNNNNNNNNNNNNNNNNNNNNNNNNNNNNNNNNNNNNNNNNNNNNNNNNNNNNNNNNNNNNNNNNNNNNNNNNNNNNNNNNNNNNNNNNNNNNNNNNNNNNNNNNNNNNNNNNNNNNNNNNNNNNNNNNNNNNNNNNNNNNNNNNNNNNNNNNNNNNNNNNNNNNNNNNNNNNNNNNNNNNNNNNNNNNNNNNNNNNNNNNNNNNNNNNNNNNNNNNNNNNNNNNNNNNNNNNNNNNNNNNNNNNNNNNNNNNNNNNNNNNNNNNNNNNNNNNNNNNNNNNNNNNNNNNNNNNNNNNNNNNNNNNNNNNNNNNNNNNNNNNNNNNNNNNNNNNNNNCCCCCCUAAAUUAUACAGGUGUACUUGGGUGAAAAACAGAGACCAUAAAAAUAUUCUUGAUAAUAUUACUGAUAAACCAGCCCAAUUUUUUUCCCCACCAAACAAAUUCACACUCUGCUUUCUAUAUAAGCCUCAGUCUUCAUCCACCAAAGCUCAAGAAACUGUUUAAAUCAUCUUCUAUAACAAUGGCACAUCAGUCUCUUUACCUUCUCUUCCUCGUUGUCUUAUCAUCAAUCAGCAGCCAUGUAAUUCAAGUUGAGGGUCGCCAUCUUUUGGACGCAACUUUGCCAGAUCUCCCCAUUGGCCUCCCGAAACCCGAGCUACCAACAUUACCUAUGCCCAAUCUUCCACUGCCGCAGCCUGGAUUGCCCACAUUACCUAUGCCCAAUCUUCCACUGCCACAGCCUGGAUUGCCCACAUUACCUAUGCCUAAUCUUCCUCUGCCACAACUUCCAAACCCUCAGCUGCCACCUUUGCCCAAACCGGAGUUGCCAUUACCUAUGCCAGAACUUCCCAAACCUCAGCUACCUCUGCCACAGUUGCCAAUACCAUCGCCACCUCUGCCAAGCCCUUAAGUACUAAAGUUCCUUCAAUGAAGGGAAGUGUACUACGUGCUAUCCAGGAUGACUCAUUUGUAUCAUUAUUGUCGUAUUUGUUAACCUCCUCAUGUUAAUGUUGUUAAAACUUUUGUAUGUAACUCUCUUGUUAGUAAGUCAAUUGUUUGUGUCAGUUAACAUUCCUAAAUUCCUUUUGUGAAUGAUUGCUCAACUCCAUACUACUUCUAUCAUAUACUAGCACGAUUGCAAGGUUAAAAUUUGUACUAGAAUAUAUUUACCACCCACUGAGAAAUGGAAAAAUUAUGGAACUAGUCAAAAUUAAAAUUUAUUUAUGGAAAAUAACUAUUGUUUAAAAAUAUUAUUAAAAAAGAGAGAGCAAUAUGUUGUUUUUAUAGCAAACUCCUCCCCUCUCUCCUUUGCCUCUCCUCUCUCUCUAUGUAUGUCUCUCUUCUGACGAUAAGAAUAAAUUCAUUCAAAUGUAUUCAAUUAUAUAUAAGUGAUAGUUUCGUAUUUUAUUUCUAUUGUAUUGAAAAACUAUAUUUUGUAUUUUUGUAUCAAUUGUAUUUGUAUUCAUACGAAUACAACAUGCAUCCAUCCUCUCUUUCAAAUGUAUUUGUAUCCAAUCAAAGAGAGGAAGAAUACAAUUGUAUUUUGAAUACAAUUGAUACUAAAUAAAUAAAGAAUACAAUGCAAAAUAAAUACAAAAUAUAAUCUAUUGUAUUUCGAAUACAAUUGAUACAAAACAAAUACAUAAUGCAAUGCAAAAUAAAUAUAAUCCUCUCUCCUCCCUCUCUUGAUCUCAUUUGUCUCUCUCCUCUUAAAUAAGUAUACAUUUUGAUACAAACCAAUUUAUUUUUGUAUUUUUUUCUCCAAAAUCUGCAAAAAAUACACUCUCUCCCAAAUCUAGCUCGCCUCUCUCCUCUCUGUCCUAACAUUUUGCUAUUAUUCGUAAUUAAGCAAACUAUAGCUAUAGAGUGCCUAAUAUUUGCUAUUUUUGAAAAAUUUCCCUAAGAAAUUUCUUUUUCGAUUGGCCUUUGAUAUACUUUUCCUUGAGACAAGGGUCUAUCGGAAACAACCUCUCUAUUACUGGGUAGCAGUAAGGUUUGUACAUAACUCUAUUUUCUUGCACCCACUUAUGGGAUUAUAUGGGAUAUGUUAUUGUUGAGGGAUUUCCAUAACUCCAAAUUUAAGAGGAACUCUUAUUAUUGUAGUCACAUUCUUUACCCUUUAAAAUCGAUUUUACAUUAGAUAAAAGUCAUUUUAUUAUUAAUUUCUUAAUAUUUAAAACUUUGAAAUUAACUAACUCUUUUUUAAAUUAAAUUAUGUCUUAUUUGUGCAUAGUACUACAAUUUAGGACUUUAAAAUCAAUCAAGAUUUUAUAUUAUAUAAAUUACUAGUAGAAUUACUUGCGCUUCACGUGGGAAUUCAAUUUCACGGAAUUUAUCAAAUAAUACUUAAAAACUAUCGGUCAUUAAAAUUAAAACACUAUAUUAUCUUACAUACAAGAUUAUGUACUAACGAACAUUAAUAAUUUUAUAAAUUAUCCUUUUGCUUCUUGGAAGUGUUACCAUUUGAUAUUUCUGGGGAAUUAAACAAACAUCAACUUUAGAUAUUGAAUUUUCUAAUAAAUAAAUAAUAGUUGGUGAUGGGAUAAAUAAAUUUUAGAAGGCUGAAAAAAGUAAACAAAAAUUCUAAUUUUGACGUGUAGAAAGUUCAGCGCUACCUUUUGCUUUACAUAAUCAUUUUAAAGUUCCUAAUUUAAAUGUAUCAUAAGAAAUUAUUAAUUUAGAAAAUAAAAGGAAAAAUGUAUCAUAUUGGACCACAAUUCAACUUAUCAUAUAUACUUGAAAGGGAAAAAUAUUACACAAAAAUAUUCAGUUUGUUUGGGUGCUUUUUAAAAAUCAGCAUACCAGAGUGAUGAAUUUCAAUUUGAAACCACACUUCUAUUCCAAUCGCAUUGUCGAGAAACACAUUUAUUACUUCAAAAAAAGUAUUUACAACUUGCAAUAAACUUGAGAAUCUAUCCAUACUUCAUAUUGAAAAUGCACAAUUAAUUUUUUGUGUAGUUAUCUAUGUCUUUGGAAUUAAAAGAGGCUUCAGUCUAGUCAUAUUCCUCUAUAGGUUAUCCGACACAACAUUCUUGAAGCAAUGCCAAAAGUUUAUUAAAUUUUGUCUUCUUUUAUUGGUUCACUUCGCACAUCAAUGUAUGAUAAGGUUUUUAAGGUCUCUAUUUCCUUACAGUAAUAUACCACAUUUAAAUUUUGUCUUCAAGAGAUGGUAAUAUAGAUCUUUAAGGGAUUUUUUAUUGUACCUUCAACAAUUACAGUAGAGAAAAUUUGGGUGAAUACUCAAUUAACUAUACUAACAAAUACUUAUAACAAUAACUUUGCAGAAAAUAAACUACAAAAUUUAAAGCAUGUACUCAAAAAUAUCAAUUAAUAACAUAAGCAUAAAUUAAUGACUGUAAAAUAUAUAUCGGGAUCUGUAACAAUAGAAUGAAACAGAAAGGAAACAAUUGAGUCCACUAAAUGCACAGUGUCCCCUUAAGGAAAUUAUUCCCCUCUGGUACCGAGGUUUAAAGGAAUAGAUCCCCUGGGGAUAGAAUGAUUCUUUUCACAAGUGUGUUAGUACAAAAACAAUGGUGUCAGUGAGCCACUCAACAGGAGCAAAGUACACAAAUAUUUAAUUGUGCAGAAAAAGAAGUUCAAAUUUUUUGAUGUUUUAAAAUGAGAGAAAAUCCCUCCAUUUAUAGACAACAAAGGGUAAUGUGAACAAAUGUUUAUUGUGUCUUAUCGGAAGGCCACAACUGUUUGGAAAAGUUACAACCCUUCUGAAAGGUUAACCUUUCAUAAAAGUCAAAACUCUUUAGAAAAGUCGCAACUUUUCAUAAAAGUCAUUACUUUUCAUGAAAGUAGCAACUCUUCAUAUUUCGUUCUCACAUUUUAAAUCCAACAACGUGUACUUCAAUAUCAAUUCAAAGCUCUAAUAAAUAUAAAUUGACCUUCAAUAUAUAUUGUACCACCCCAAGAUAAAAAAAUGAUUAACUCAAAUCAACAAAGGUAAAGUAAGAUUAUCGAGAAACGAUAGACUAAACAAUGCAAGUAUACAUAGGAUUAAGUUUGGCCCAGUGUUCCUAUCUGACGAUCAAUUGCUUAAGUAAGUUCAAAGGGGAACUUAUAUUUAUACAUUUAGAAGAUAGAUUUGAUUCGUAAGAUGAUAUUGACGACUGUGAAGGUUUUUGAGAGGAGAAGAAGGCUAGUUUUAGAAAUAAAUAAAUUAAAAGGGAAUCCUGAUUUGUGAAGGCGUCACGUAGCUAGGCCUAGAGUUCUCUUAUAUAUAUAUACACACACACUAGUUUCACGGCACGUGCGUUGCAUGUGUGUAUUGUAUAUAUAGUAUGCAAUGCUGUAAAAUAGAAUUAAUAUUACUAAAUUAAAUCUUUUUAGUAAAUAAUUAUAAUUGAAAGAACACAAGAUAAGUGUUUUUAAGUAAUUAAUACAAAUUGUCUUAGAGUUACUUGCAUUUUUAGAUCAAAAUGACCAAAUAUCAUAGAACAUUUCAAAAUACAUUCAAAGUUUAAAUGCGGGGAGAAAGUGACAUUUCUUUAGUAGUAUUUUUACUUCACUCAAUUUUGUAAGCAAAUCUAACCAACAAAAUUUAGAAAAAAUAUCAAUACAAAAAAUGUCACCAAUAGCUUUUCCUCUUGAGGUUAUGAACAUAAAUGAUGGACUCCAUUUAAGUACAAUUUUUCUCUUAAAUAUUCUUACUUGAAAUAUAGUAUGUGCAUGACACUAAUAAGGAUUACCAUAAAUAGUUCAAUAUUUUAUCUUUAUACACAAUCUAUCUUUUACAAAAUAUUAUUACUCAAUUAAUACUUGAGUAAGACUAUCAUAGAGAGGUAAUUUUACAACAACAAAAAAAGGUACUUUGUUGUUAUAACGAAUGGUGGUUAAAUAGAGGUUUGAGUGUAUGUCAAAUAUUUAGCUUGACCAAUUCUUUGUUAUACAUAUAUAUACACACACAUACACAUCACCUUUGGUGAAUUGUUUUUCAUUUCUUUAAGUUUCUACCUUAUCUUUGUAGAGUUGUAGUCUUCUUCUUGUUUCUGUCGCAUACAUAUCAUAUAGUUAUUUUCUAAUGAAAGAAUCUAGUAUCUAAUAGGAGAUGUAUCGUGAUAUAAAAUAUUAAACUUUUUCAAUAAUAAAAGUUAAUAGAUGAAUAAAAUUCAGUAUUAUUUAUAGAAUCUUUAAUUUGAUUUAAGAUUAUUUUAUGAUCAAUCACUAUUUUCUUAUCUAUUUUUAUAUAGCUAGCAAGAUCAGUAUGUUGUGACAUAACAUUUUCUCAAAUUAAAGUGAACACAAAAUAAGAGGAACUUCAAACCAAAAAAAAUUCUAUAGUCAAUAUAAAUAUAAAAAAGAAAACAAUAUAUGAAACAAUACAUAACCAACGAAUAAAGAAGACGAAGAUAUAUGUUCAUGCUAUAUUCACUAUAGUGUUCCAUUUGAUUGAAAUCUCUUGCCACCAAAACUUUACUUGAUCCGUUCAUUUUUACUUACAUAUCUAUUAAAAAUUAAUUAUUAUCAUGACUAUAUUAUCAUAUUAUAAGUAAAAGAUAAAAUAUAUUUUUGAAAUAGUAGAUUUAACAUCCAAUCUAAUAAGUCAAUGGACUAUGUUGAUGCCCGUUGUUUUAGUAAAAUUACAAUGACACUCCUUCGUGAGGGUAAGAGAAUAAAAAAUGAAAAAACAAAGAAGAAAUAUCUUACCCAAAUCAUAUGACUUUUUUCAUAUUUGUUGUAACAUCUCGCAAUCUAUAUAUAUAUAUAUAUAUAAAGGUGGAACAUAAGUCCGCUGAUGUGGCAUGCCUCAUUGAUCAGGAAAUGAAUUUAUAUAUUUUCUUAGAUUUUGUUGAUUUUCUUAGCAUUUUUUCUUCAUUUUUAUUACAAAGAAUUAAAAAAAUAAAACAAAAAUGCACAAGAUAAAUGAUACUGCUGUUUUAAAACGUCUAUAAACGUGGUCAUAUUAAAAGUCAAUUUCUAAUUAAUUUCUUACCUUUUAAUUAUACUUUAAUGCUAUUUCAAGUCCAUAAAAACUACCACUGAAAGCUUCAUUUUACGUUAUUUUUGUUUUACUUUCCUCCUCUCCCUUCUCAUUUUCCUUACUUAUUUAAAUAUUAUUUUUCUUCUGUAACUCCUUUCACAUGGCUUUUUAAAUAAUUAUUAUUCAUCCUUCAUUUGUUUAUAUUUUUAUUUGUAAUGUAAAGAUUUUAUAAAAAUAUGCUAACAUAAAUUUUGUUUUUUAUUUCAGGUUCUAUAAGUAGAGAUUUACGAUUUUGAAUUUGGAUAACCUUUAAGGGAAAAAAGCAGAUGAUAUUAUAGAAAAAGGUAAGAUGGAGAUGUUCCAUAUUUAAAUUGCAUAAAUAUGUGUACUUAAUUACAUGAAAAAUAUAUUUUCUAAAUAUGUAUCUAGGUGGGAUUUUUCAUGAUAUGUAUCCAGAAUUAAAUGUCAAAGGUAUGAUUUCUUUGUAUUUUCUUGUAUAAUAUGUGACAUUUCUCUAUGACCUUUAUUUAUAUUUAUAUUUAUAUUUUUUCUUUCAUUUAAACUAAUUAUUUUACUGUAAAAAAGAAUUAUUUAAUUUAUUACAAAUUUAUAUAUAAUAAUAAAGUUGAAUAUAAAAACGGUGAUGUGACCCUCUCUAAGAGUUUCAAUCCAAUUUAUCUUUUCUUUGCCUUUUUUNNNNNNNNNNNNNNNNNNNNNNNNNNNNNNNNNNNNNNNNNNNNNNNNNNNNNNNNNNNNNNNNNNNNNNNNNNNNNNNNNNNNNNNNNNNNNNNNNNNNNNNNNNNNNNNNNNNNNNNNNNNNNNNNNNNNNNNNNNNNNNNNNNNNNNNNNNNNNNNNNNNNNNNNNNNNNNNNNNNNNNNNNNNNNNNNNNNUUUUUUAUAAUAUCAUUAAUUCUAUGACUUUUAGGUUUUCAUAGUCAUAACCUCCAACUACUAAAUUAUAAAAUUUAAGAUAUUUUAUGAUAUCUCUCUAUUUUUAAUGACAAAAUAAAUUCACAAGUUUUUUAUUUCAUGAAAUUUCUACUCAAGAUUAUUCUUUACAUUUCAUUGUUCUUUGUAGUAUUAUUAUAUUAUCAAAUUCAUGCUUUAACUUGACAUGGUGAAAAAGACUCUUGAAUGUUGAUUAGUUUGUCAAAGAGGAUGUUAGACAAGAGGUCAAAAAAGUGGGCAUUGAUUUUGUAUUCUUAUUUUUAUCUAUUUUCUUAUGAUAAGGUUCCAAGGAAGAUGUGUGUGUCUUUAUUCUCCAUGCAACGUCUUUAGUUUGAAUUCUUAUAACUUUUUAUUAUUUCAAUAUGUAUUUUUGCUUAUGUACUAUUGCACAGAGAACUAUUUAUAUUUUUUUCUUUAAAGAUUCCUCAAUUUUGUUUAUAUAAGCUCAUUAUUUUUUAUUUCAUGAAACCCCUACUUGAGAUUAUCUUUUUUAUUUCAUAUUUGAAAUAGUGUUUUCCUUAAUUUUUCUUGAAGUCUUUCUCGCAUAACUACUAAAACAUAAGUUAAAGAGCAAUAUACAUUUCUUAUUUCAAGUUAAAUAACAAACAUUGAAGAAGAGUAUUAACUACUACAAAAACUACACAACACCAUAUUUUUACUUCAAUUUGCUGGAUUUUCAUUUCAUGAAAAGUUUUAUUUUUAAAACAUAGAAAGUGUAAUUCAAUUUUAUUUUGUUAUGUACUCUUCAAUUCCAUGAUAUUCACCUUCUUGUAGUAUGUCAAUUUCUUUUUUAGUUUGGGGCGGGGCUAUAAAGUAAGAUAAUUUUACUUAAUUAAUUUUAAUAUAUAUCUUGAAGAAAAUAUAGUUCUUUGACCCAGUUUUUUGGUUAUAUAAAUUUCUUUUGAUUNNNNNNNNNNNNNNNNNNNNNNNNNNNNNNNNNNNNNNNNNNNNAUCUGUGAAGUGACCAAAAUUAUUAUAACAUUUUGAUUAUCCAAAUGUCACCUUCAUGUCUAUAAUAGAAUUAGCUAGGCAAUCCAACUAUACUUAACAAUUUAAAUUAAAUAUAAUUUACGAAUGCUCAUUUUUACGUUUUAGACAUUACAAUUUCUAUAUUUUAUCAAAUUAUUUUCAUACAUCUUAUACAAUCUAUUUCAAUUAUCAUAUAAUUAUCGGUUGAUUUAGUCUUUUUUAAAAUUACACAAAAUGAUCGGUUUUGUUUUUUAUUUUAUGUUCUAAACUCUACUUUUUAAAUUUGUAUACGUCAUAAUUUCCGACAUAAAAAUACAAUUAUCUUCACUUUGUUAUGGAUGGAGUGAAUGGACCAUGUUCUUCUUUUUUUCUCACGUACUUUUAUUAAUGAGCUUUGUUUAUCUUGAAGUUGGUUAUAUGACAUUAAUCAAUUUAUGUUUAACGAAAACUGAAAAAGUACCUUUUCUUCCUUUAUGUUAUAGUAUAUUUUAUUUGUUAGAAAUUAGUUCAAUGUGAAUAAUAAAAUGAAUUCAAAUUUAAAUUUUUAUCUAUUUAAUUGAAUUUGAACUAAAAACUCUUUUAUAUUCAAAUAAUAUGAAAUGGUUAAUUUAUAUUUUUGAUAUAAUAUUUUACGACCGCGCAUAGCGCGGCUGAGUUACCUUGUUUGAAAUAAAUAGGAAGAAGAAAAUAAUUGGAAAUAGUCAUUUUUGGAAAGAAGGAAAAAUCUAGAAAUUUACUUAAGUUAGGAAAUAGUGAGUUUUUGGUCAACUUCAAAUGGACAUAACUUCUAGCUCAAGAUGAGUUAGAUGUACUUCCAGGUAUGGUUGGAAAUCUCUUGGAACGAUCUUUCCAACGCUGCCAAUUUUGAGCAAAUACGAGUUCGUAUUAGGGAGACACGCCUAUUGGAAGUUGGACUGUUCAAAUAAGAAAAUGUCAAAUCCGGAUUUUUGAAGGGUAUUUCAGUCUUUUUCUUAUCCAAUUAAUUAAAUUCAUUUUAGUGAAUUAAUUAAGGGUCUAAACUGAACUUGGUCAGUUUUAUACAUUUGGAAAAGAGUUAGGGUUUUAGAGAAGAGGAAAGAAGAGGAGAAAAGAGAAGGAGAAGCAAGGAUAUCGUCAAGUUCGUCGAGUUUAACUUGUGGAUUUCAUCGGGGGUGAUCCCUACAAGGUAUGUGGGAUCACAUAGCGUUGGGUUAGUUCACCCACGCGCCAAGCAUGUUUAAUUCAGCGUAUUUUCGUCCUAAAAAGAUUGAGAAUUUGAUGUUCUUGAUAGUUGUUCUUGAAUUAAUUUCGUUCUUGAAUAUGAGUUGGGAUUAAGGAGUUUCUUGAUGUUAAAAUGUUGUUUCCUUGAGUUGUUUGGGUUAUAUUUUCUGUAUAUGAUUUGGGUACAUGAAUCUAAAGUGAAUUUGAGAAAAACAAUCGGAUUAAAACGAUUUAGGAUCAGAAAACGAGAUCAAAAGUUCGUCAGAAUUUUGCCUGAAGGGAGGCUAGUGCGACACGCCCCCGUAGCGCACGAGGAAAUGGCACCGCGCGCCAGAUUUGAGCCCCAGUAAGUUGGGGCUGACACGACGCGCCCGGGAUGCGCCCAAAUCAUUGAUUUCACCAGUUUUCGUCGUUUAGCCUAUUUAAGUCCUUCUAAAAAUGUACUAACACUUUCCAUUGAUUCUAACUACUCUAAAUGACUUCUAAACAUAUAGAAAUCAUCCAGAAACAUGAAUCAUAACCUUGAAUCCAUAAAUUCAAAUUCAAGGAAAGUCAAGAAUCAAGUCUAGGAAGUUCUUAGAGUCUUUUCAAGAAGUGUUUUGCAAAUUCUUUUAACUUUGUUUUAAGACUUAAAGUUAAAGUUGAGUAAAGAGUAAAGAUUAAGCUUGAAGUCAUUUCUUCAAAAGUAUAUGGGGACUAUGUAUUCCCAAAGAGUUUAAAAUGUUUUCAUAUUUAAACAAGAAAGGAAACCUCGAUUUCCAAAGAGCCUUCGGGCAAGUUUUCAUAAAAGAGUAAAUGCUUUCAUAAUUAAGCAAGAGGGGAAACUUUGAUUUCAAAGAUAGCCUUUGAGCUUAAGUUUUUGAGAAAUUAUCUCAAAUCACAGAAAGAAAUAUGUUUUUAAACAUAAAGAGCUAGUAUCAUAUUUUGGGAGUAGUAUUGAGCACCGAUAUAGGGGAGCGUUCAGAGAACCCACAACCCCCAUAAACCAUGUAGCCAUCAUGGGUAGAAAAGGGUCAUACUUUUUAGAUGAAUUCUUUAAUGCUUUUUAGCAUAGACUAGUGGAUCCACUUAGUGAGUUAGGUCAAAUACUCGUGGCAAGGUAUAUGAUGGUCCUUGGCAGCGUGAGGUAAAGUGUUGUAUCAUCACUAUAGCUCUUAAGUGAUGGUUGUUGGUUAGAGAAACUCCCACAACAGUAUUUUGUAUUUUUAUAUACAUCAGUUUAUUUGCAUUUUUACAUACAUCUCAGAGUUAUAUGUAUAUUUGCAUACACAAAGAGUUGACAUCAUGUUUUAAAUAGUUUUUCUUUUAUUGCACUUGUUUUUAAACUUCUUUAUAUUGAAAUGAGUUCAGUUAUGUGGAGUUGAGUUGAGCCAGGUAAGUUCUUCAGUUCCUUUCAGAUUCUUUUCAGGCCUAUGUUGUGUUUAGCAUUCCAACUCACAUACUCAUACAUUCAAUGUACUGAUGCUAGUUGACAUGCAUCUUAUUAUGAUGCAGCCACAGGUAACUAGAAACAACAUCCAGCGCAUCGUUGAUCCAGUUGAGCUUCAGAGUUGUUGGUGAGCCUUCUUGCAUUUAUGAGGAUCCCCUUUUUCAUUACUUUAUCAUUUUAGUUCAUUAGGAUGUCAUGGGCCUGUCCCAACAUCUAUCUCAGUUGUUUUAGAGGCUUCAUAGAUAGUCAGCCAAAUGUUAGUUCAUUCGUCAUCAUUUUGUUAUUGGCUUAUGUUUAGAUUUGAGUUGCCAUUUUGGCUAAGUUAAAUGUUUAUUUUUAAAACAUUAUGAGUUCAAUUUGAGACAUGUUGAGUUAUCUAGUAUUUGGAUUCUCUUUCUUAUGUCUAAGUCUUUCGCUAAGUAAGUAAGUCAGGCCAAGGAUUUGCUUGGGGCCAGCAAUGGUUCUCGAGUUCCAGUCUCGCUCGGGUUGUAGGCUUGGGGCAUGACAAACUUGGUAUCAGAGCAUAGAGUUCAAGAGUCCUAGGGAGUCUAUGUAGCCAUAUUUGUAGAGUCCUAUUUAUCGGUAUGAAGCGCACCACAUCUAUAAUUAGGAGGUUGCAACACUUAGGAAGUCCUUCACUUCUUUCAUACUCACUUUGUGUGAUAGAAUGUAUCUCUAUAAAGGUCUCUCUCUAACUCGUUCGUGCGAGAGGUCACCAAUGUUGAAUUUCAUGAAGCUAUCCGGAUGUUAAGUCAAAUUGCGACCCAUCAAGUUGGACAGAGAUAUAAUCGAUAGGAAGUGGAUAAUACUUCAAGGAUCCGUGAGUUUUUAAGGAUGAAUCAACCAAGCUUCACAGGUUCAAGUGUCACAGAGGAUCCAGAGAAUUUUAUUGAAGAACUUCAGAAUUUUUUUGAGAUUAUGCAUGUUGUAGAUGCUGAGAGGGUGGAACGAGUUGCAUACUAAAUGAAGGGUUUCGCUAGAAUCUAGUUCGACCAAUGAAAAAAGAAUAGGGAUGAGGAUGGGCCAAUAGUGACUUGGGCUGUGUUUGAGAGUGCUUUCAUGGGGGAUUUCUUUCCCCGUGAGUUGCGAGAGGCAAAUAUAAGAGAGUUUCUCACCCUUAAGCCGGAGUCUAUGAGUGUUCAUGUGUAUAGUCUGAAGUUCACACAACUUUCCCGCUAUGCUUCGGAGAUGGUUGCUGACAUGAGAAGCAGGAUGAGUUUAUUUGUUGCUGGGUUGUCUCGUCAGUCAAGCAAAAAAGGCAAUGUAGCUAUGCUUAUAGGGGAUAUGGACAUAGCAAGGCUAAUGAUCCAUGUGCAACAAGUUGAGGAGGAUAAGAUGAAGGAUAGAAAAGAGUUUAAGAAUAAGAGAGCUAAGACAUCAGGAAAUGAGUUUGGGAAGCAAAAAUGUAAUGCGAACCGGUCUUCUUUCCACCAUAAGCAUAAAGGACAUGCUUCAUCAUCUGCUAGUGCACCUGCACCUAAGAACAAAAGUGAGUACAAUAGUCAGAAUUCCCAGAGUUUCAGAGCUAAACAUGCCUAUUCUCAAGGCAGUAUGGCACAAAGGGGUAGUAAGCCUCCUGCAUGUGCUAAGUGUCGCAGAAACCACUCAGGUAUUUGUCGUGAGGGCUCUACUGGUUGUUUCAAGUGUGGUCAGAACGGUCAUUUUAUGAGGGAGUGUCCUGAGAACAUGCAAGGUAAUGGUAAUAGGGGUAAUAGGCCCCAACUUUCUUCAGUUGCUCUACCAGACAGAGCUGCACCUCGAGGAGCUACUUCAGGUACUGGCGGGGAAACAAACCGCUUAUAUGCUAUCAAUAGUUGCCAAAAGCAAAAGAAUUCGCUAGAUGUGGUCACUGGUAUGAUCCAAGUCCAUGACUUUACUGUUUAUGCUUUGCUAGAACCAGGGGCAAGUUUAUCUUUUGUAACUCCUUAUGUUGCUUUGAAUUUUGAUGUUAUUCCUGAGCAACUUUGUGAACCCUUCAGUGUUUCUACACCUGUUGGUGAGUCUAUUCUAGCAGAGAGAGUCUAUCGUGAUUGUCCCAUUUCCAUUAAUCACAAGAGUACCAUGGAUGAUUUAAUUGAGUUAGACAUGGUAGAUUUUGAUGUCAUUCUAGGUAUGGACUGGCUUCAUGCCUGUUAUGCAUCAAUAGAUUGUAGAACUCGAGUUGUCAAGUUUUAGUUUCCAAAUGAGCCAGUAUUAGAGUGGAAAAGCAGUUCAGCAGUGCCUAAGGGUCGUUUCAUUUCGUACCUUAAGGUAAGGAAGUUAGUUUCUAAGGGGUAUGUCUACCACUUAGUCCGAGUUAAUGACUCUAGUGUUGAGAUACCUCCUAUUCAGUCAGUUCCAGUAGAAAAAGAGUUUCCAGAAGUCUUUCCAGAUGAUCUACCCGGAUUCCUCCUGAGAGAGAAAUAGACUUUGAUAUAGAUGUUCUUCCAAAUACUCAUCAUAUAUAUAUUCCUCCAUACAUAAUGGCACCGACAGAGUUGGAAGAGUUAAAGGAGCAGUUGAAAGUUCUUUUAGAGAAAGGUUUCAUUCGACCAAGUAUCUCACCUUGGGGCGCUCCGGUCCCAUUUGUGAGAAAGAAAGAUAGUUCCCUUAGGAUGUGUAUAGAUUACCAUCAGUUGAACAAGGUUACCAUUAAGAACAAGUAUCCUCUUCUGAUAAUUGAUGAUCUUUUCGAUCAACUUCAAGGUGCUUCAUAUUUUUCUAAGAUAGACCUCAGAUCUGGCUACUAUCAGUUGAAAGUAAGGGAAUGUGAUAUUCCAAAGACAGCUUUCAGAACCCGUUAUGGUCAUUAUGAGUUUCUGGUCAUGUCCUUGGGUUUGACCAAUGCACCUGCAGCGUUCAUGGACCUUAUAAAUAGAGUUUUCAAAACCUUAUUUAGAUAUAUUUGUUAUCGUCUUCAUUGAUGACAUACUAAUCUAUUCAAGGAAUGAAGAAGAUCAUGCUAGCCAUCUCAGAUUAGUUCUUCAGACUUUAAAAGAUAGAGAGUUGUACGCCAAGUUCUCUAAAUGUGAGUUUUGGCUUGAGUCUGUGUCAUUUUUAGGCCACAUUGUGUCUGGAGAGGGAAUUAAAGUUGAUACUCAGAAAAUUGAGGCAGUGCAGAAUUGGCCUAGACCCAUAUUUCCAACUGAUAUUAGGAGUUUCUUGGGUUUGGCUAAAUAUUAUAGAGGGUUUGUUGAGGGAUUUUUAUCUAUUUCAUCUCUUUUGACCAAGUUAACUUAGAAGACAGUGAAGUUUCAAUGGUCUGAAGCUUGUGAGAAAAGCUUUCAGAAAUUGAAAAAGAGGUUAACUACUGCCCAGUGUUGACCUUACCAGAAGGUACACAAGGUUUCGUGGUGUAUUGUGAUACGUCUAGAGUUGGUUUGGGUUGUGUGUAAAUGCAAAAUGGCAAUGUUAUAACUUAUGCCUCCAGACAGUUGAAAGUUCAUUAGAAGAAUUACCCAACCCAUGACUUAGAGUUGGUUGUUGUAGUAUUUUCUUUGAAAAUAUGGCGCUAUUAUCUUUAUGGUGUUCAUGUAGAUGUGUUCACCGAUCACAAGUGUCUUCAGUAUGUGUUUAGUCAGAAAGAGCUUUGUCUCAGACAGAUGAGGUGGUUAGAAUUACUCAAAUAUUUCGACAUGAGUAUUCUUUUUCACCCAGGUAAGGCUAAUGUUGUUGAUGAUUCCUUGAGCAGGUUAUCUAUGGGUAGUACCGCCCAUUUUGAAGAAGGUAAUAAAGAGUUAGCAAAAUGACAUGCAUAGAUUUGCACGAUUAGGAGUUCGAUUAAUGGAUUCCACAGAAGGAGGAAUAGUGUUGAUGAAUGGGGUUGAAUCAUCAUUAGUGUUAGAAGUAAAAGGCGAGAAAGACCAAGACCCUAUCUUGCUUGAAUUGAAGGCAAAUGUUCAUAAGCAAAAAGUAUUAGCUUUUGAACAAGGGGGAGAUGGUGUGUUGAGACAUCAAGGUAGGUUGUGUGUACCAAUAGUGGAUGGAACCCAAGAGAGGAUCAUGGAGAAAGCUCAUAGCUCCAGAUAUUCCAUUCAUCCGGGUUCCACCAAGAUAUACCGUGACUUAAGAAAAGUCUAUUGGUGGAAAAUUAUGAAGAAGAGAUAUCCACAUCUCUUCGAACCCAGAGAAAUUCUAGAUCAAGGUACUAAUCCUUUCUUAGUAUUUAUUUACAAGUUGGCAUGUUGUUUUGCAUUUUCUUGUGGGUGCUUGAACUGAAUGUUGCAUGUUACACCCUUAGCCUAUUAAGAGUAAUCUCAUUCGAGGAUGAAUGUUCCCCAGGGGGAUAUAUUGUAACAUCUCGCAAUUUGAAAUAAAUAGGAAGAAGCCAAUAAUUAAAUAUACUCAUUUUUGGUCAACUUCAAACAAACAUAACUCCUAGCUCAGGAUGAGUUAGGUGUACUUCCAGGUAAGGUUGGAAAGCUCUCGGAAUUAUCUUUCCAACUCCGCCAAGUUUGUGCAAAUCCGAGUUUGUAUGAGUAAGAUUCCCCCAUUGAAAGUUGGGAUGUUCAAAUAAGGAAAUGUCCAAUCCGGAUUUUUGAAGGGUAUUUCAAUCUUUUUCUUAUCCAAUUAAUUAAAUUUGUUUUAGUGAAUUAAUUAAGGGUCUAAACUGAACUUGGUCAAUUUUAUGCUUUUGGAAAAGAGUUAGGGUUUUAGAGAAGAGGAGAAAAGAGAAGGAGAAGCAAGGAAAUCGUCAAGUUCGUCGAAUUCAGCAUGUGGAUUUCGUCGGGGGUGAUCCAUACAAGGUAUGUGAGAUCACAUAGCGUUCGGUUAGUUCACCCACGCGCCAAGCAUUUUUAAUUCAGCGUAUUUUCGUCCCAAAAAGAUUGAGAAUUUGAUGUUCUUGAUAGUUGUUCUUGGAUUGAUUUCGUUCUUGAAUAUGAGUUGGGAUUAAGGAGUUUCUUGAUGUUAAAGUAUUGUUUCCUUGAGUUGUUUGGGCUAUAUUUUCUGUAUAUGAUUUGGGUAUAUGAAUCUAAAGUUAAUUUGAGAAAAAAAAUCGGAUUAAAGCGAUUUAGGAUAAGAAAACGAGAUCAAAAGUUCGUCAGAAUUUGGCCUGAAGGGAGGCUGGCGCGACGCGCCCCCGUAGUUCCCGAGGGGAUAGCGCAGCACAGCAGCAGUGCGCCAGAUUUGAGCCCCAGCAAGUUGGGGCUGGCGCGACGCUCCCGGAAUACUCCCAAAUCGUCGUUUUUCACCAGUUUUCGUCGUUUAGCCUAUUUAAGUCUUUCUAAAAUGUACUAACACUUUCCAUUGAUUCUUGUCACACCCCUAUUUUUCCUCAAAAUUUAAAUUUAUGUUUUGAAAGAAAAAAGAGUUUUUCCAAUUAAAGUGACAUUUUGAAAACGGAUUAUUUUAUUAUUCAGAGUCGCCACUUAGAAUUGAGUUUUUGGUGUUCCAAGUCACCUUAUUAUUUAAAUCCCUAAUCAAAAGGAAAUUUGACUCUUUAUUUUUAUUGGUCUGCGAACUAGUAAUUCGGGUAAGGAAUUCUGUUGACCAAGGGGAAGGUGUUAGGCACCCCUCGAGUCCCGUGGUUCUAGCACGGUCGCUUUAUUGACUAUAAAUAUGACUUAAAUUAAUUUUUGAAUAUUAUAUUAUUAGCUUAAUAAAAAUGCUAUUUACCCUCAUUCUUUGAUUUAUUUUAAACCUAUUUAAGACUACCUUAUUUUAUUAAUAUAUGUUCAUUAAUUAAAAAUAUGUAUAUCACAUAAAUUUAUUUAAACAUAAUAAUAAAGUAAAGUUAAGAUAUGGAUAUUUACAAAUCUUGAAAUGUCUUGUAAUUUCUUUUCUUCUCCUUUUUUUUUUCAUGUAUUUGUAUUUUUUUUAUUGUGGAUAGAAAAUAUGUAGGUCUCUAAUUGCUAGGAAUUAGAAUUUGUGUAGGAUUGAGAUUUUUUGAGUUUGAGUAUUUUAAGAUUGUAUUUUUUUAGUUAGAUUUAAAAUAGAAAUAAAAUUUUAUGUGAUUUGGAAUUAGUUUUAGCAAGAAAUUCUAAAUAGAUUAGGACUAUUUUUAGGAAGAUUUUUCCUUUUAAUUUUUAUUUUUUAAUUUUUUUUUCUUUGCACGUCUUUUUCCUUACUUUUUUUUUUUUACGUUUUGGUUUUAUUAAUUUAUAUUUAUUUUUUUCAUUCUGUCUCUUCGUAUUUUUUAUUAAUUUUUUUACGUUUUUUUUUUGUUUCUUUCUACUUUCUCCUUUAUUUUUAUAUUUUAAUUCUUUUUGGACAUUUUGUUUCUCUUCUUCUUCUUUUUUUUGUUUUCUUUACUGCUUUGCUAAUCAAUCUUCCUCAUAUUUUUUUACCAUAUAGCCCUAAAUAAUAGUCAUACCUCUUAAUUAUAUACCUUAACAAUUCGAAUUAAAGCGAUAAUCAUCUUACUCUUAUUAUAAAGGUAAAUUAUUUUUAAUAUAUUAAAAAGACUAAAACAUAUUCCACAUAAAAAACUUUUCUGAAUCACUAAUCAAUUAAAUUAAACUAUUAUCUUCUAAUCACAUCGAUUAAUAAUCAAUUUAGAUAAUGAGCAUGCGAUUAAAUAUAUAAAAUUAAUAUAUAAUUAUCACAAACAAAACACACUUAUGUCUUCUUAAAUUACGAAAAAAAUAACAUGAAGCUAAAAACCAAAACAUGGAACAUUGUUCAAGAAAAAAUUGAGAAAUUCAUGGAAUACAUGUUUUUUUUCAUGAUUCUACAAAAAGGAUUAAACAUAUAGUUUACAUGAAAACAAUUCAAAAUAAAAUAAAAUAAUAUAAAUAGGCUAAGGCAAGAACGCACCUUCAAAUUGUUUUUGACUAAACAAUGAAGAAUAACGUAAAAAUCUACAGAUUUCCAAAGUUUAGCAAGGCUAACUUUAAGAUCCACAAACUUGGAACCACGAACAAAACCUCUAACUCUAGACUUAAUUCUCAAAAGAAAAAAUCACGUUUCUUCUCUUUGCUUUUGCUCUAGUUUUUUUUUCUCGUCUGUGUCUGUGUGUAUCCUCUUUUUAAUCUCUUUACUGAGCAUGUUUUUAUAAUAUUUUAGGUGUGAGUCUGGUGCUAACUUAAAGGAACGUGAAAGAGUGGGGAGUUUAGUUUGAAAUCUAGUUGAGAAUUUUAGGGUUGAGAUAAGGGAAUGAAAUAAAAAUAGUAAUAUAAUAUUAACAAAACAAAUAAUAAAUAAUAAUAAAACAAACAAAAAGAAAGAAAGAACGAAGAGAAAAGAAAAGAAAAAAAUAAUAAAUAAAUAAAAAAGAAACGUGUAAAAAAAAUGAGAAAAGAUCGUGCAAGAGGAAAAAAAAAGAAUAAAUAGAAUAAAAAUAAAAUAAAAUAAACUAAAUGGGAGGAGAAUUUUUAGGAAAUAAGUUAAGGAAGUUGGGGGUAAUUAGGAUAAAGGUAAGGUAAUUUACAAUUGUUAGGACUCUUCUUUUUAUCUUCUUUUUUUCUACUUUUUCAUAAGAUAUACGAUUAUUUUUUUAUUUUUUUUAGACUAGUUAAAAGUUAAAGGAUUAAAAUAAAUACAUUAAAUUCACAAGCUUUCUUUAUUAAACUUUAAACAUAAAGUGAGCUUAUAAUCUGUUGUAAUUUUCAGAUUUAUAUUUUCAUUUAUUUUAAAUAUAACCCUACUGAAAUAAUAAUAUUUAAGUAUUAAAAUUGGUGUAAAAUCUUGAUGUUUUGGUCAAAAAUUAGGUGUUCACAGUAUGUCCCUCUUUGCUUGGAAACAUGAAGAGUUUUCAUGCAAAGACGUGAACAAAUUGCUAAUUUUUUGACUGAGACAUUUAUCCAAAAAUGUGAAAAUAAGUAAAAGAGGAUAGGUUUGACUGCGCCCUAACUUUGGACAAACUACCUACCCUGAGUUAAUGAUCGGGUGUAGUUCAUAUAUAGGAAGGGACGGGAGAAUAAGUUAGGUAGUCGAGUGAGGUUCAGUCGAGGUUCCGGUUCGUAGCUCCAGCUGUUACAUUAAAAGGAAAAAAUACAAUAGGAGAGAAAGGAAAGAUACAAGAUCCUAUCUACUCCACUAGUUCUGAGUCUUCGUUUUGAAUCUUCGGUUUUUGCUUCACCCUCUUUAGGUAGGUACACCGAUUCCGAACUUUGAACUUGAUAUUUGAAUUUAAGAUCUGAAACUUAUGAUUUAACUUGAGCCGUUGACGCUCUUCCGCAUGAUAUUCUUGAAUGCUUGUUUUCUUGAGAAGAUGAUUCAGGAUAUGUUGAGCCAUUAUGGGUUGAAAGCGACUCUAAAUGUCAUUGACAUCUAAGAUUCAUUGUUUCUCUAAUCAAAUGAGGUCUUUAUUCUUGAACUUCCAAUUUGUAUACCACGUAGAAACCUGCACGCCAUAAAACAAAACAAAACAAAAAAAAUUGCCCCAGUGUGCACUAGGAAUAUUUUGUGAGUUAUUGAUGAAAGCUAUAAAAGUCUAUACUAAGCAGACAUACAUUUUUAUUUUUAUAUCCAAAAUGCAACCAGGGGUUAUUAUGCCCUGUGAGGACAUGAAAAUAAAUAGGGAUUAUGGUUUCCCGUGAAGACAUGGAAAAAAAUAAAAUAGGGGUUAUUGUGCCCUAUAUGCAACCAGGGGUUAUUGUGCCCUGUGAAGACAUGAAAAAUAAAAUAGGGGUUAUUGUGCCCCAAAUGCAACCAGGGGUUAUUGUGCUAUGUGAAGACAUGCAAAAUAAAAUAGGGUUAUUGUGCCCUAUAUGCAACCAGGGGUUAUUAUGCCCUGUGAAGACCCCCAUAUGCAACCAGGGGUUAUUGUGCCCUGUGAAGACAUGAAAAAUAAAAUAGGGGUUAUUGUGCCCCAAAUGCAACCAGGGGUUAUUGUGCCCUAUAUGCACCCAGGGGUUAUUGUACCCUGUGAAGACAUGAAAACAAAAAUAAGGGUUAUUGUGCCCUAUAUGCAACCAGGGGUUAUUGUGCCCUAUGAAGACAUGAAAAUAAAAAUAGGGGUUAUAUAUAUAUAUAAUAUAUAUAUAUAUAUAUGUAUGUAUGUAUUUAUUUUAUUUUUUUACUUGUAUUAUUAUUAUUAUUUAAGAUUAAUUAUUUUAUUUUAUUUUUAUUUUUGUACAUUUUUCAAACGUAAAAGAAACAAUCAAAAAAAAAAAUGCUCCAGCUUUUAUUAAGAAAAAUAAUCAUUUUUAUUGUUAUUAUUAUUAUUAUUGUGGUGCAUAUUGUAAGAGAGACAGGGAUUCAAGAACUUACCUCGUGGCGUUUGACUCUCACGAAUUACUUGCACGAUUUUUCUUUGUACCUAUUUUGAAACAAAGAAUAUUUUGUUAGUUUUUCUAAAUGGUGGUUGGUUUGUGACUUCGAAUAUCUUGUGGAGUUUGACUUUGAAUCUGUCUUGGUUGAAAGAAUCAUCAUAUUGACGAUUGCGCGAAUAACUUGAAGAUGCUUUAGAGACAGUCCUUAUCUUCCCUUGAAAUACUUCUCAUUAACGUUUUGACCCAUUUCCAUUUUGUGCAUGUUGUGUGGUUCAUCCUUUCCAAAACAACUUUCUUGUUUUACCGAUUUUUCACACGGUAUUGAUUUUUGAUAUAUAUAUUUUUUUGAUUGGUUCACAACCCUAGUCAAUGUUGUGCAUGCCCCCAACAUUCAACUAGAAAUACCGUAGUCAAUUUCGCGACUUUAAUUUGAUUUUCUCACUUGACGCGAGUUUAUGCUGAAUGAGACUCAAAGAAUACCGAACACAAGUACAAAUGACACAAAUGAAAGGGUUAUGAAAGAAAAGUUAUGUCUUUAGAAGGACGAAAUAAGUAAAUGUUUAAAAGGAAUGAAAAGAAUCUGAUCUGAAAGUACGUGACCACUUUAAUGAAUCAUGACAUGCAUUAGGACUGAACGUUUGAUCCUUCUAAGUUGUCCGAAUCUCAUGAAACAGUGUUGUACCUUUCAGUCUAUAGCCUGACUUCUAUCUUGAUUGUGUGCUCAUGCCAAGACGGAAUGUCAUCAUUUGAUCAAUGGUGCCCUUCAUGGUUUUCCACCAAUAAGACAUUCUUAUCUCUUUAUCUGAUCAACUUACUAUCGUCAUAUGGUGCCCGUGAGGGUUUUCACUCAUAAGACUCUCUCAUUUUAUUUUAUUUUAUUUUGUAACACACCGUAGGUCACAAUGUCAUGUCUCAGCCCUUGGAAAAUUGAAGAACAUGAUUAUUGUUUUAUUCAGUGAUUAGACCGAACCCCAAUGAAGGGCUGCCUACAUAUCCUCUUAGGAAUCAGGUCGAACAUAGUUCAAUGAAACUUUUUUUUAGCACUAGACAAGUGGUGUUUGAAAUAAAGGAGGAUACAUUUUUAUCCUCUCAUCUUGAGAAUGUCAAUCACGAGAGUGUCAUAACAAAGAGUGUUAAACGUAGUAUCUUUUGGUCGAAUCUGUGUUAACAAUUGUGUCGAUCGCUUUUCCCUCCAUAUCUGCCAGUUGCAAAGCUCCUUUUGAUAGCACUUGUUUAAUAACAUAAGGGCCUUGCCAAUUUGGGGAAAACUUUCCUUUGGCCUCGUCUUGAUGGGGAAGGAUGAGUUUCACAACAAGUUGACCGACUUCAAAAUUUCUUGGGCGUACCUUCUUGUUAUAAACUCGAGUCAUCCUCUGCUGAUAUAAUUGACCAAAGCAAAUUGAUGUCAACCGUUUUUCGUCUAUCAGUGCUAAUUGUUCUAACCUUGAUUUAACCCAUUCCGUGUCCUCGAUUUCUGCUUCGACAAUGAUUCGAAGAGAAGGGAUUUCAACUUCUGCGGGUAUGAAAACCUCAGUUCCGUAAACCAACAAGUAAGGAGUUGCACCAAUUGACGUACGAAUAGUCAUGCGAUAUCCCAAGAGAGUAAAGGGUAGUUUUUCAUGCCACUGUCUAGAUCCUUGCACCAUUCUCCUAAGAAUCUUCUUGAUGUUUUAUUUGCCGCUUCAACAGCCCCAUUUGCUUUGGGUCGAUAAGGGGUUGAAUGACGAUGAACAAUUUUAAAUUGCUCACAAAUUUCCUUCAUCAGGUGGCUGUUGAGAUUCGCUGCAUUGUCUGUAAUAAUGAUUUUUGGUAUGCCAAAAUGACAUAUGAUGUUGGAAUUAACGAAGUCCACUACUGCUUUCUUGGUAACUGAUUUGAAUGUGACAGCUUCUACCCAUUUGGUAAAGUAGUCGAUGGCAACUAAAAUAAACCGAUGCCCGUUAGAUGCUUUCGGCUCAAUCAGCCCAAUAAUGUCCAUUCCCCAAGCAACAAAAGGCCACGGAACAGACAUAGGGCGCAACUCUAAAGGGGGUGAGUGAAUCAAGUCGCUAUGAAUCUGGCAGUUAUGGCACCUGCAAACAAAUCAGAAGCAUUCUCGCUCCAUGGUCAACCAAUAGUACCCUGCCCAGAUAAUCUUUUUUGCUAGAACAUAAUCAUUCAUGUGAGGACCACAUACCCCUGAAUGCACCUCAUUCAUAAUUGUUUCUGCUUCUUGAAUAUUCACACAUCGCAAUAGAUUCAAAACUGGAGUUCUUUUAUAUAAGAUCUCGCCACUCAAAAGAACCCAUGGGCGAGUCGCCUAAUAGUUCUUUUUUUUAUCUCUAUCCGCAUGUAUUGGAUAUUCUUUAGCUUUUAGAAACCGCUUGAUAUCGUGAUACCAGGGCUCACUGUCUGGCUCUACUUCAAUUAUAUUGCAAUAACCAUGUUGGUCCCUAACUUGGAUUUCCAACGGGUCAAUGUAGGUAUUACCUGGGUAUGGAAGCAUCGAGGCUAGGGUGGCCAAAGCAUCAGCCAACUCAUUGUGAAACCUGGGAAUGUAUCUGAAUUCAAUGGACUUGAACCUUUUGAUAAGGUUUUCUAAACAUUGUUUGUACGACAUGGGUUUAAUGUCUCGAGUCUCUCAUUCGCCUCGAGUUUGUCGAAUGAGCAAAUCGAAAUCCCCCAAAACCACCAACUCAUGCACAUCCAGAUUUAUUGCCAUAUUCAAACCUAUGAUGCAAGCUUCGUAUUCUGUUGUGUUGUUGGUAGAAAAGAAUUGAAGUCGCGUUGUGGCAGGAUAAUGACAUUCGUUUUGUGAGAUAAGAACUGCCCCAAUUCCUACUCCAUUUUUGUUGACAGCCCCAUCAAAAUAUAAUUUCCACACGUGACCAUCAUUAAGAAUUUCUUCCUCAAUAGAGUUGAUCUCUUCAUCAGGGAAGUAUGUCCUUAGGGGCUCGUAUUCGUCAUCGACCGUAUUCUCUGCCAAAUGAUCGGCCAACACUUGUGCUUUCAUGGCGGUGCGAGUGACAUACACAAUAUCAAAUUCCGUAAGCAAAAUCUGCCAUUUUGCCAACCUACCUGUUGGCAUUAAUUUUUGAAAAAUAUAUUUCAAAGGAUCCAUUCGAGAUAUAAGAUAGGUCGUGUAGGACAAAAGAUAGUGUUUCAAUUUUUGGGCAACCCAAGUCAAAGCGCAACAAGUCUUUUCUAACAGAGUGUACUUUGCCUCAUAGCUUGUGAACUUUUUGGUCAAAUAAUAAAUGGCUUGUUCUUUUUUUCCCGUAUUGUCAUGUUGUCCUAAAACGCAACCAAAUGAAUUAUCCAUCACUGAAAGAUAUAAAAAUAACGGCCUACCAGGUUCUGGUGGGACCAGUACCGGAGGGUUUGCUAGAUAUUCCUUAAUUUUGUCAAAAGCCUUUUGACACUCACUUGUCCAUUUGAUAGCAGCAUCCUUUUUCAACAACUUGAAUAUCGGCUCACAUGUGGCGGUGAGUUGAGCAAUGAACCUACUGAUAUAGUUUAACCUACCCAGAAAACUCAUGACUUCAGUUUUGGUUUUUGGAGGUGGCAAUUCUCGAAUGGACUUUAUCUUAGAGAGGUCUAAUUUAAUGCCUCUUUGACCAACUAUAAAACCCAAAAGUUUGCCAGAUGGAACUCCAAAUGCACAUUUAGCUGGAUUAAGCUUGAGGUUGUACUUUCUCAAUCUUUCAAAGAAUUUUCUUAGAUCACGUACAUGGUCGGCUUGUGUUCUAGAUUUAAUGAUGACAUCAUCGACAUAUACCUCAACUUCUUUAUGCAUCAUGUCAUGGAAUAUGGUAGUCAUAGCUCUCAUGUAGGUUGCUCUUGCAUUCUUCAGACCAAAUGGCAUGACUCUAUAACAAUAUGUACCCCAUGGGGUGGUGAAAGUAGUUUUUUCUGCAUCUUUUUCACCCAUGAGAAUUUGGUGAUAUCCGGCGUAACAGUCCACAAAAGAUUGAAUCUCGUGUUUGGCACAAUUAUCAACCAAGAUGUGAAUGUUAGGUGAUGGAAAAUUGUCAUUUGGACUUGCUUUGUUUAGAUCUUUGUAAUCAACACUAACUCUGAUCUUUCCAUAUUUCUUUGGCACUAGCACAACAUUAGCUAACCAGGUAGUGUAUUGGACAACUCUAAUCACAUUUGCACUCAGUUGCUUCAUGAUUUCCUCUUUAAUUUCAUCACUCGUGUCUGUCUUAAACUUUCUCUGCUUUUGCUGGACAGGUGGAAAAUCAAGAUGUAUUGGAAGUUUGUGAACUACUAAAUCAACACUUAAACCCGGCAUGUCGUCGUAGGACCAAGUGAAGACAUCGUUGUAUUCAAAUAAAACUUGAAUUAUGUCGUCUCGAAUGUUCUGAUCAACAUGAAUACUUAUCUUUAUUUCUCUCACUUCUUCAGGAGUUCCUAAAUUAACUGCCUCAGUUUCACUUAAAUUAGGUUUAGGCUUAUUUUCAAAUUGAUCCAAUCCUUUUUUUUAUUUCUUCGUAAGCUUCAUCUUCAUCAUAUUCGUCAGACUUAGGAUUCAUUGUUUCGAGAUCAGACAACUUUUUUAGGAUCUAACUGUAAACUCCGCAUGCAUGUCAUAUUAUUAAAGUCGACAUUAACGUAACUGAAAUGAAAAAUAAGGGGACAUAUAUUAGAAAGAGUAAGAAUAGAGAAGAUGAUUGAAUAUGAUUGUAAAACUAGAACUUCAUUGCAUUAAAUGGGAAAUGAUAGAAGGGUUAACACCUAAGUGAGACAACUAGAAGGUUUGAAUUACAACCCUGAGAAUAAUCCAAAUAAAUAAAUUAAAAGCAGCAAAAUACACUACCAAGACUCCUUCCUUGUAGGGAGAUGUCACGACCCAAGCCUAGGGCCUAGACGUGACCNNNNNNNNNNNNNNNNNNNNNNNNNNNNNNNNNNNNNNNNNNNNNNNNNNNNNNNNNNNNNNNNNNNNNNNNNNNNNNNNNNNNNNNNNNNNNNNNNNNNGCACAUUUUCGGGCAUUUUUGGGGUCGUUUCAGGAGAUGAGUGGCUUCCCAAUUGUUGAGCUGGACAUUCGGGCCGACGAACUGCACAUCCAUAUGACUAGUGCUUUCACCCAUCUGAGUCAUGUUUAUAUCAUAAAACAUUUCCUUGAUACCUUGACACAUUUCAUCCAUAUCAUUCUGGAGAGGGAAGUCUGGACUCGGUUCACCUCAAAAUUUAACGAAAGAUUGAGCAAUAUGAGGGAUUGGCUUUAACAAAUUCCAAACAUUUCUUUUACGAUAUUUUGCCCAUUUUCUAUCAAAUCUAGUUGGAUUGAAACCCAAACCGAAUGUCUCUUGAUUACCCAUUGGAUUGAUGGGAUCUACAAUUCCUUGCAAAGACAGCCCUAGUCCCUUUCCAGGUUCAUAGCCGUUCUGUACCAUCUGGGACACCACCAUGAAUGGAGCAGAUGAUAGAUGAGGUUGUGGUAUAGGCUUUCCUUCCGAAAACUGAUUGACUGUUAUAAUAUCAAAAGCCUGAUAGUUGAGGGAUUCACAACCUCUUUUGGCCUCAAUGCAUGGUAUUGAAGGAUCUCGGGUGAUUGGGAGGUCAUCUUCAACAUGGACAAUGAUUUCUAGUUUAUCAUGCUCAAACUUGACCACUUGGUGCAGAGUAGACGGCACAGCUCUAGCCAGGUGGAUCCAUGGCCUACCCAAAAGUAGAUUGUAAGAAGUGUCCAUGUCUAUUACUUGGAAAGUGAUUCCGAACUCCACUGGUCCAAUUGUAACAGUUAAGUAUAUUUCACCAAGAGUGUCCCGUUUUGCGCCAUCAAAUGCACGCACACAGACAUUGUUAGUACGAAUUCUAUCCGUGUUGAUUUUCAACCUUUGUAGAGUAGAAAGAGGGCAUAUAUCUACACCCGAUCCUCCAUCGACCAUGACUCUCUUCACAUAGUGUUCUUCACAUUUCACGGUUAAAUGUAACGCCUUAUUAUGCCAGAUCAUUCCAAAGGCAAUUCAUCAUCAGUGAAAGUGAUUCUAUUUACCUCAAAUAUUCGGUAGGCCAUCCUUUCCAAGUGACCCACCGUGAUACUUUCUGAGAUAUGUGCCUCAUUCAAGAUUCUGGUCAAAACUUCACGAUGCUCUUUAGAAUGUAUGAGUAAUGACAACAAGGAUAUAUGAGCGGGUGUUUUCCUCAACUGAUCAAUAACAGAAUAAUCUUGAGCUUUUAUCUUUUUCAGGAACUCUUCAGCCUCCUCCUCAGUGACAGGUUUUUUAACCGGCAACUUAUUUUCUUCGGCUUGUUUGUCUUUCCUUAAUUCUUCUAGAGCAUAACACCUCCCAGAACGAGUUAAUCAUCUUGUUUCAUUUGUUUCUUCAACAAUCUCCUUUCCUUUGUGGGUAACAACGACUUUGUUGUAGUUACAUGGAAUGGUCUUGGUGUUUGUCAUCGGAAGUUGUGUUGCAAUUUGUAUCACAACUGGCUCUUUCACACUUUUUUUAUUUUGACCAAAUGUUCGAAGUUUACCAGGAAUGUAUAAUUUUGGUCCAUUCAACGAUACUUCUCUUCUUUUUACAGCUCCAGGGACAUACAACACUAGUUUUCUCAAGUCUCCAAAAUUUGAACUUGCACCAUUCAAAAUUAUCGGUGCCUUUUGUAUGGGUUCUAAAACCAUACUAAACUCUUCUUUUGAAUCCCUACUUUCCAUUUUCGUUCUACAUGUUUGCUCAUAAUCUUCAUAAAUGUCUACCAUCCCCACAACAUGCUCAUUAUUGUGAGCAAGGAGUGGGUUAUUGGUGACAUUUGGCGCCUCCUCAUUGCGUAUCUCAAUUACCUUAUCCUCAAUUAACUUCUCAAUGACUCUUUUUAGAGUCCAACAAUUCUUUGUGCUAUGACCUGGAGUGUUAGCGUGAUACUCACAUAUAACAGUUAGAUCAAAGCCUCUUGCAUUCGGAUUGACAAAAUAGGGAUUGACAACUUCAACCAAUAUAAAUUGUACUAAUUUCCGCAACAAGCUCGUAUAUGACUCUCCAAUUGGGGUAAAGUUUUCUUUUCGACCUUGUUCUCUUAUAUAAUCCAUCCGAGGACGUGGAUUAUGGGGUGCCUAAAAAUUUUGUUGUUAGGGGCGAGAACCAUGUGGGGCAGGUGCCCGCCAUUGUUGGUGCUGAGGAGGUCGGACCUAUGCUUGAGUGUUGAGAACUGCAUAUUGGGAUGGGUAAUAAUGUUGAGGAGAAUUAGAUUGUUCUUGUUGGACUUGAACAUAAGGGUGGUUCAUGCCCAUUUGAACACCUCUCGAUCCAGACGUCAUCAUGGACCCAUCCUCCUUCUUUUUUCGAUUUACAAAAUUACCUGACCCGCUCUGUAUUGCUUGCGUGGUAGCUCUAAUGGCUGUCUGGCUUACAAUUUUACCCGAUUUUAUGCCGUUCUCUACCAUUUCUCCGAUCUUAAUUGCUUCGGCGAGGACCCAUCCUCCUUCUUUUUUCGAUUUACAAAAUUACCUGACCCGCUCUGUAUUGCUUGCGUGGUAGCUCUAAUGGCUGUCUGGCUUACAAUUUUACCCGAUUUUAUGCCGUUCUCUACCAUUUCUCCGAUCUUAAUUGCUUCGGCGAAAGGCUUUCCCAUUGCAGCGAGAAGGUAAUGAAAGUAGUCAGGUUCUUGAGCCUGGAGAAAAACAUCAAUCAAUUCAUAGUCCUUCAUCGGCGGUUUGACUCUAGCCGCCUGCUCCCUACAUCUUAUGGCAUAUUCCCUAAAGCUUUCAGAUGGUUUUUUCUUCAUAUUAGCUAGGGAAUUGCGAUCCGGAACGAUAUCGAUAUUAUAUUGGAAUUGUUGGACAAAAUCUUGCGCCAUGUCAUCCCAGACAUGCCAUCGAGAAAUAUCUUGAUCGAUAAACCAUUCUGAGGCUACAGCCGUUAGACUUUCUCCAAAGUAAGCCAUAAGAAGUUCUUCUUUUCCUCCGGCUCCUCUUAGCUGAUUACAAAAUCUUUUCAAAUGAGCCACUGGGUUGCCAUGACCAUUAUACUUGUCAAACUUUGGAGUUUUGAACCCUAUAGGCAAGUGAACAUCUAGAAACAUGCAUAAGUCCUUGAUUGAGACACUUUUGUGUCCUCCCAACCCUUGCAUAUUCCUUAUGUUUUGCUCCAAACUCCUAUUUUUCUUGCAAUUUCUUCAUGUUCCUCGUCCUUAGUGGUUUUUUCAACCUCGACGGGUGAACUGUAUUGAUGAGUGUGGUGGUAAGAGUCAGGAAUUUUGAAAGUCAAUUUAGGGGCCUGACCUUGGCCGUAUUGAUCUUUGGGUAUAGGAUCAUCAUUAGAUUUUUGUACUAGUGUUGGUUGAGGAAUUGCAUUAGUUUCCACAGUUGGCAUGAAGAGUGGAUUGUUCAUCAUAGGUGGAUUGAACGGGUGUACCGAGGAAGUUCCAACAGUAUUAUAUAUGUUAACGUAGGGUCCAAAUCCAGGUGGAUAAACCGGGUCUCUUGUUGAGACUUGAAUGGGGAAUGACAUAUUCACAUUUAGGUAUUCCCGAAUUGAAGAUGGGGGAGCCUGCCCAUUCAUCCAAGCUUCAUACAUUUCGGUCAUCUGUUGUCUCAACAUUUUGAUCUCUUCUACAUAUACUGAUUCUUGUGCAACCAUUUGAUUUUGCACUUCGUCAUUUCCCGACUCUGUUUCAUCUUUUCGUGUCAUCUUUGCUUUCCCUUUUGAUCUCGUGUUAUAUUGAUGAAAUGCCAGCUCUCUUCACAAACCAACCACCUUUAAACUCUUUCUCUCUUAUAUAUAAAAACAACUAUGUUAGGAUUCAGCACUUUGCAAAUAUUAAUCACACGUUUUAUGUUAUGCACCUAAAUUAUUCUUAUUUCUACAAUGAGUUUUGGAAGACUUUUAUGUUUCAUCCCGGCUUUGGACGACUUGCUUAUGUCUUUUAGUCCUAUACUUUACUCAUCUGAAUAUUUUGAACGCAUUUUGAUCGAACAUGUUUAAGGUUGCCUACGUAUCAUGUUGAACAUGAAUCAGAUCAUUACGUAGUUCGUGAAGGAGAGUUAUUUAAAAAAGAAAACACGACAUUUAUUUAACUUAACAUGAAGACAUUAUUCAAAUCAAAAUGUUCUUAAAAUAAAUGACCAAAACAUCAAAGUACUUAAGGAUUGAAACAAACUUCGAUCAAAUGAAAAUAAAAGAAAUAAUAAAAAAUUCUUCUCCAAUAUUUCUUGAUCAUCAAUUGCCCCCUAGGCUAGAGUAGACCUUGGACAAAGCUUUUGGCAAAUGUGGGGCCAGUGCACGCGCAUGUCGACCCAGGCUCUUAUCACUCCGAUGUAGAUAACCACCAUAAACAUCAAUCAAGCUCUCUGUCAGUUGAAGCACUUGUCCUUUGGCCUCCUCCAUAUUCUCGUGACAAUUCUGCAACCAUUCUUAAGUAGUACCAACCAUGUGGGUCAAAUCCUCUUCAUGUGCCUGAAGAUCUUCGAUUUGAUUAUGAAGUUCUUCACGCUCCCCCAUCCAUUGGUUUCUCUCGAUCGUGACUUCUGCUUUAUACGAUGUGAAACGCUUUGCUAUGUCUGUUUCUCGUCCCAUCGAAGCUUUUAAUUGAUUUUGUAGUCUAGCAUGUGUGUGCAUUAAGAGGGUCUUUUCUUUUUUAUACUCUUCCUCUUAUUGCUCCAUAGCGCAUGUGACAAUGCCCAAAUCCUCAUGUAAGGUUCGAAUGGUGGAUUGAUGUUCCUUUUCAGCCCUUUUCUGAAUCAACCUAACUCUCUCUUUGAAUAUUGCAUCACGUUGAACCAACUCUUCUCUAGCAUUCUUUAGGUCAUUACUGAGGAUAUCCAUAGUAGACCUGUAAUUUUUUUCCACCUCGAGCCGAGCUUGCUUGAUUCUGACAUCAAUUUCCUCUUCUUGAUCUCUGAGUUCUCGCGCUGAUCCUUCGGGCAUUACUUUGAGGGGGGCUUGAUUAAAGAACCAAUGGAGGUAUGAGGGGUCUACUUCUCCUUCAACACGAUCGUCUACCAUAGCUUUCGAGCAUAAAGUUCGACUACCACCCCAAAUCUUUUGAGCUUCUGAUUCUCGAUCUUCAAACGACACCUCCCAUACGAAACUCUGUGUAUCCUCGGCCCUAGGUGAGAUUUGUGUUUGUCCUAGUUGGCGUAGCACCCGAAGGGGUAUGUAUGGUUGGAAUCCUCGAAGCCCUGUCAGAACAAAGAAUGGACGAUAGGAAGACAUAACAAUUACAUUACUCGCAGGGAACCAAUGAUAGUUCCAUGUAAUAUCAGAUGUAGUUAAUUUAAGAAGAUAAUGUCUCCACGCUUUGACACCUUUUGGCAAUUUUUCUACUAAUUCCUUCAUCCUGUCUGGGUGGCUCAAAAUAUAAUUCGACCAUUCAGAUUUGAAAUCUGUCGCAAAACGAUGGCGAUACAAGUGUUCCAAAAACCACAUUUGCAAUAGAAUGCUACAACCUUCAAAAAAGUCUUCCCCUUCCCUACAUUUAGUCAAAGCACGAUAAAUGUCGGCUAACAUCAUUGGCAAGAUAGUGUAUUUCUUUUUCUUCAUCAUAACAGCGACUAUUCCCGACAGACGAAUAUUGAUUUUUUUAUCUCUCCUUGGAAAAACCAUGGUUCCCAAAAAGGCCACCAUGAAUGCUUCUUGUCUAUGCUUUUCCCAGGUAGGGAGGUGUUGCCCAUUUUUUAAGUUUGCUUCCCGUAGUCUGAAAAUCCUUCUUUCUUUCCAUAUCUUGAGUAUAGAAAUUCCAAGGAAACCAACACAUUAUCGAAAACACUCCUUAAUGAGGAUGGAUGAUGUGCAUUUGUUCUAAAAAUUUGUUCCCGCUGAUGCUUCUUGGGGCUAUGAGUGUUUUGUUUCGGAGAUCCUUGCUUAACCCUGUGAAACCACCCAAUUCCUCCAAUGUAGGCGUCAACUCAAAAUCGUUAAAGCGAAACACAUUGCUUGUAGAAUCCCAAAACGGGAUCAAAGCCUCGAUCAAAUCUCUGUCAGGACUAAAUCUCAUGAUAUCUGUGAGGAAACCAAGAUGUUUGAAUAUCUUAGUUCACCUAAACUCAUGCAUAUCGUUCCACUAAGCCAUGAGUAGUGGUGGGGUUUUAUCCGUGAUCAUGAACUUUGGGGGAUCAUUGACCAUUUCGACUGCCUCAUCCCUUGAUCUUUUAUCACAUCUCAUAGAUCUCAUGAUUACCUAGUUAGGAAAAGAAACUCACGAUUUAAAACCAAAUUUAACUUAUGAAAUUUUGAUCAUUCGAAAUCAUUUGUCGGAGUAGUUAAAAGAAAAAUAAAUAAAUAUGAAAAAUGACUCAAAAUGCCUAAAGUGGUCAUUCUUUUGAAAACGACUUUUGUUGACCUUCCUUAGGGGAAGCUUAGGUUGUUUUCGGAGAGAAUAACUGGAUAAAGAGAUAAUGUUGACAAGUGAAUCAUGAAGAAGAGAAAGAAAAAGAAAUAAAAAGAAGGUGGACAUGCACUAUUUGAAACAAAUUUGAAGACAUAUAUAUAUAUAUAUAUAUAUAAUAAUUUUAUUUUUUUAUGUGUACAUGCACUAUUAUUAUUAUUUUUGUUUUUUUGUUUGUAAAAACUUGAUGUUUUGAUAAAAGCGAGAAUACAAUUGAGGGUUAUAUAUAUAUUAUUUUCAAUUUGUUUAUCUUGAAUCAUUUGCUGAAAGUGGGUAAAAAUAGACAUUUUUUCUUUUAGUUAAUUAUCUAAAGUCGGUCAACAUUUGUUAUAGUCUUUCACAUUAUGCAAUAAGUAGCACAAAAAUAUACAUGAUGGUCUCAAGAAAAGGUACCUGUCCUAGACAAACCCGGGCCCCAUGCCGAGUUUUGCUAAGUUAAAUGCACAUGAUGUAGAUAAAGCGGAACUUAGUAAUGAUAUCAUGUCUGAAGAUUUCAGUUCUACUAAGGUUGAACUUGUGGAGAAAGGUAUCUAGACUGGCCGUAAAAUGAGCGGACAACUUGAGUUAGGGAGUAGUAACGUAUCGGUAGUAGCGCUUUCCGACUUUGUGCAUGGGUGCUCCCCAUUAUAAACAUCAUGGAUCGAAGAUCCACUGGCUAUCUUGACAGAAGUAGGGUGUGCAGUCGCAAUUCCCAUAAUGAUAUUACAGAAGACUCAGAGUGGUGCGCGAGAGAAGACAGUUAUAAUGCAAUUCAAAUAAUAUUAAAAUAGUAAAAAAAAAGUAAACAAUUAGCACAUUAAGCCAACAAAUACAAUAUCCAAAACAUAAAUGAAGAAAUAAAUAAAUAAAGUCAUACAUAAGUCAAUAUUUACAAGCUCGAAUUCUGGUUAUCCCCAGCGGAGUCGCCAUCUGUCACACCCUUAUUUUUCCUCAAAAUUUAAAUUUAUGUUUUGAAAGAAAAAAGAAAUUUUCCAAUUAAAGUGACAUUUUGAAAAGGGAUUAUUUUAUUAUUCAGAGUCGCCACUUAGAAUUGAGUUUUGGUGUUCCAAGUCACCUUAUUAUUUAAAUCCUAAUCAAAAGGAAAUUUGACUCUUUAUUUUUAUAGAUCUGCGAACUAGAAAUUCAGGUAAGAAAUUAUGUUGACCAAUGAGAAGGUAUUAGGCACCCCUCGAGUCCCGUGAUUCUAGAAGGGUCGCUUUAUUGACUAUAUAUAUGACUUAAAUUAAUUUUUGAAUAUUAUAUUAUUAGCUUAAUAAAAAUGUUAUUUACCCUCAUUCUUUGAUUUAUUUUAAACCUAUUUCAGAUUACUUUAUUUUAUUAAUAUAUGUUCAUUAAUUAAAAAUAUGUAUAUCACAUAAAUUUAUUUAAAUAUAAUAAUAAUAUAGUAAAGUUCAGAUAUGCAUAUUUACAAAUCUUGAAAUGUCUUAUAAUUUCUUUUCUUCUCCUUUUUUUCCAUGUAUUUGUAUUUUUUUUUAUUGUGGAUAGAAGAUAUUUAGGUAUCUAAUUGCUAGAAAUUAGAAUUUAUGUAGAAUUGAGAUUUUUUGAGUUUGAGUAUUUUAGGAUUGUGUUUUUUUUUUUAGUUAAAUUUAAAAUAUAAAUAAAAUUUUAUGUGAUUUGGAUUAGUUUUAGCAAGAAAUUGUAAAUAGGACUAUUUUUAGGAAGAUUUUUCCUUUUUUUUUUUUAUUUUUUUUUAUUUUUUUUAUUUUUUUUUUUUUCUUUGCAGGUCUUUUUCCUUACUUAUUUUUUUCUUUUUUACGUUUCAGUUUUAUUAAUUUAUUUAUUUUUCAUUCUGUCUCUUCGUAUUUUUUAUUUUAUUUUUUACGUUUUUUUUUGUUUCUUUCUAAUCUAUCCUUUAUUUUUAUAUUUUAAUUCUUUUUGGACAUUCUGUUUCUCUUCUUCUUCUUUUUUUUUUUCUUUCUUUUCUUUACUGCUUUGCUAAUCAAUCUUUCUCAUUUUUUUUUAUUUUUUUUACCAUAUAGCCCUAAAUAAUAGUCAUACCUCUUAAUUAUAUACCUUAACAAUUCGAAUUAAAGCGAUAAUCAUCUUACUCUUAUUAUAAAGGUAAAUUAUUUUUAAUAUAUUAAAAAGACUAAAACAUAUUCCACAAAAAAAACUUUUAUGAAUCACUAAUCAAUUAAAUUAAACUAUUAUCUUCUAAUCACAUCAAUUAAUAAUCAAUUUAAAUAAUGAGCAUGCGAUUAAAUAUAUGAAAUUAAUAUCUAAUUAUCACAAACAAAACACACUUAUGUCUUCUUAAAUUACGGCAAAAAUAACAUGAAUCUAAAAACAAAAACAUGAAAUAUUGUUCAAGAAAAAAUUGAGAAAUUCAUGGGAUACAUGUUUUUUUUUUUCAUGAUUCUACAAAAAAGGAUUAAACAUAUAGUUUACAUGAAAACAAUUCAAAAUAAAAUAAAAUAAUAUAAAUAGGCUAAGGCAAGAACGCACCUUCAAAUUGUUUUUGACUAAAUAAUGAAGAAUAACGUAAAAAUCUACAGAUUUCCAAAGUUUAGCAAGGCUAACUUUAAGAUGCACAAACUUGGAACCACGAACAAAACCUCUAACUCUAGACUUAAUUCUCAAAAGAAAAACUCACUUUUCUUCUCUUUGCUUUUGCUCUAGUUUUUUUUCUCGUCUGUGUCUGUGUGUAUCCUCUUUUUAAUCUCUUUACUAAGCAUGUUUUUUAUAAUAUUUUAGGUGUGAGUCUGGUGCUAACUUAAAGAAACGUGAAAGAGUUGGGAGUUUAGUUUGAAAUCUAGUUGAAAAUUUUAGGGUUGAGAUAAGGGAAUGAAAUAAAAAAUAGUAAUAUAAUAUUAACAAAACAAAUAAUAAAUAAUAAUAAUAAAACAAAUAAAAAGAAAGAAAGAACAAAGAGAAAAGAAAGAAAAGAAAAAGAAAAAAAAAGAAACGUGUAAAAAAAAAGAGAAAAGAUCGUGCAAGAGGAAAAAAAAGAAUAAAUAGAAUUAAAAUAAAAUAAACUAAAUGGAAGGAGGAUUUUUAGGAAAUAAGUUAAGGAAGUUGGGGGGAAUUAGGAUAAAGGUAAGGUAAUUUACAAUUGUUAGGAGUCUUCUUUUUAUCUUUUUUUUUUCUACUUUUUCAUAAGAUAUACGAUUUUUUUUUAUUUUUUUUAGACUAGUUAAAAGUUAAAGGAUUAAAACAAAUACAUUAAAUUCACAAGCUUUCUUUAUUAAAUUCUAAACAUAAACUGAUCUUAUAAUCUGUUGUAAUUUUCAGAUUUAUAUUUUCAUUUAUUUUAAAUAUAACCUUACUGAAAUAAUAAUAUUUAAGUAUUAAAAUUUGUGUAAAAUCUUGAUGUUUUGGUCAAAAACUAGGUGUUCACAAUUCUAACUACUCUAAAUGAUUUCUAAACAUCUAGAAAUCAUCCAGAAACAUGAAUCAUAACCUUGAAUCUAUAAAUUCAAAUUCAGGGAAAGUCAAGAACCAAGUCUAGGAAGUUCUUAGAGUCUUUUCAAGAAGUCUUUUGCAAAUGCUUUUAACUUUGUUUUAAGACAUAAAGUUCAAGUUGAGUAAAGAGUAAAGAUUAAAGCUUGAAGUUCGUUUCUUCAAAAGUAUACGGGGACUAUGUAUUCCCAAAGAGUUUAAAAUGUUUUCACAUUUAAACAAGAAAGGAAACCUCGAUUUCCAAAGAGCCUUCGGGCUAGUUUUCANNNNNNNNNNNNNNNNNNNNNNNNNNNNNNNNNNNNNNNNNNNNNNNNNNNNNNNNNNNNNNNNNNNNNNNNNNNNNNNNNNNNNNNNNNNNNNNNNNNNNNNNNNNNNNNNNNNNNNNNNNNNNNNNNNNNNNNNNNNNNNNNNNNNNNNNNNNNNNNNNNNNNNNNNNNNNNNNNNNNNNNNNNNNNNNNNNNNNNNNNNNNNNNNNNNNNNNNNNNNNNNNNNNNNNNNNNNNNNNNNNNNNNNNNNNNNNNNNNNNNNNNNNNNNNNNNNNNNNNNNNNNNNNNNNNNNNNNNNNNNNNNNNNNNNNNNNNNNNNNNNNNNNNNNNNNNNNNNNNNNNNNNNNNNNNNNNNNNNNNNAUAUAUGAUGGUCCUUGGCAGCGUGAGGUAAAGUGAUGUAUCAUCACUAUAACUCUUAAGUGAUUGUUGUCGGUUAGAGAAACUCCCACAACAGUAUUUUGUAUUUUUAUAUACAUCAGUUUAUUUGUAUUUUUACAUACAUCUCAGAGUUAUAUGUAUCUUUGAAUACACAAAGAGUUGACAUCAUGUUUUAAACAUUUUUUCUUUAUAUUGCACUUGUUUUUAAACUCCUUUAUAUAGAAAUGAAUUCAGUUAUGUGGAGUUGAGUUGAGCCAGGUAAGUUCUUCAGUUCCUUUCAGAUUCUAUUCAAGCCUAUGUUGUAUUUAGCAUUCCAACUCGCAUACUCGUACAUUCAAUGCACUGAUGCUAGUUGGCCAGCAUCUUAUAAUGAUGCAGACACAGGUAACCAGGAUCAGCAUCCAGCGCAUCGUUGAUCCAGUUGAGUGAAACGACCCCAAAAAUGCCCGAAAAUAUACUUCGGAAACACCUAUAAUUGUAAUUUCCAUAUUUCUCAAAAUCCGUGCAUGAUUUCGGAAAUUCGACUUCAUAUUCUUAUUCAGGGGGUCAAAUUGAGUGGGAAAUGGGUCUAACCCGAAUUUUAGAGCAAUCGUAUCAAAAUUCGAAAAUCGCAAAAAAAUGUGAUUUGGAGGGUCAACUUUGAAGGGGCAUAUCUCUUAGCACACAAGAAGUUGGAAGGACCACAACCUAUUAAAUUAUAUCUCUUUGAGUUAGCUUUCCAACGCACUUGGUUUCACCUCAUUCCGAGUUAGGAUGAGGGAGUUAUGACCAUUUUCGUAAAUGUCCCAGAGAGUUUUCUUUUUAGCGGGUUGGGGACGUUUUUUAUAAAUGGGGGAUAUGUCCCAUACUUAGUCAUAUUUUUUUUACUUCAAAACACUCUCUAAGCCCUAUCCAAAAUUUCACCAAGAUCUUCAACCAAAAUCAAACAUCUCAAGCUCUAAUUCCGGAUUCAAGACUCAAUCUCAAACUUCAAUUCUCCAUUCCAAUCUUCAUCAAGGAUUCUCCAAAGUUGAGGUAUGUGGGUUGAUUGUGGAAACCUUCCUGUCCACAAGUCCAACCAUUUAUCCUCUAUUUCUACUUCAAGUUUAUNNNNNNNNNNNNNNNNNNNNNNNNNNNNNNNNNNNNNNNNNNNNNNNNNNNNNNNNNNNNNNNNNNNNNNNNNNNNNNNNNNNNNNNNNNNNNNNNNNNNNNNNNNNNNNNNNNNNNNNNNNNNNNNNNNNNNNNNNNNNNNNNNNNNNNNNNNNNNNNNNNNNNNNNNNNNNNNNNNNNNNNNNNNNNNNNNNNNNNNNNNNNNNNNNNNNNNNNNNNNNNNNNNNNNNNNNNNNNNNNNNNNNNNNNNNNNNNNNNNNNNNNNNNNNNNNNNNNNNNNNNNNNNNNNNNNNNNNNNNNNNNNNNNNNNNNNNNNNNNNNNNNNNNNNNNNNNNNNNNNNNNNNNNNNNNNNNNNNNNNNNNNNNNNNNNNNNNNNNNNNNNNNNNNNNNNNNNNNNNNNNNNNNNNNNNNNNNNNNNNNNNNNNNNNNNNNNNNNNNNNNNNNNNNNNNNNNNNNNNNNNNNNNNNNNNNNNNNNNNNNNNNNNNNNNNNNNNNNNNNNNNNNNNNNNNNNNNNNNNNNNNNNNNNNNNNNNNNNNNNNNNNNNNNNNNNNNNNNNNNNNNNNNNNNNNNNNNNNNNNNNNNNNNNNNNNNNNNNNNNNNNNNNNNNNNNNNNNNNNNNNNNNNNNNNNNNNNNNNNNNNNNNNNNNNNNNNNNNNNNNNNNNNNNNNNNNNNNNNNNNNNNNNNNNNNNNNNNNNNNNNNNNNNNNNNNNNNNNNNNNNNNNNNNNNNNNNNNNNNNNNNNNNNNNNNNNNNNNNNNNNNNNNNNNNNNNNNNNNNNNNNNNNNNNNNNNNNNNNNNNNNNNNNNNNNNNNNNNNNNNNNNNNNNNNAGAUUCUUUUCAAGCUUAAGUUGUGUUUAGCAUUCCUACUCGCAUACUCGUACAUUCAAUGUACUGAUGCCAGUUGGUCUGCAUCGUCUUAUGAUGCAAAAGCAGGUAACCAGGAUCAGCAUCCAGCGCAUCGUUGAUCCAGUUGAACUUCAUAGUUGUUGGUGAGCCUCAUUGCAUUCCAGAGGAUCCCCCUUUUUCAUUACUUUAUCAUUUUAGUUCAUUAGGAUGUCGUGGGCCUGUCCCGACAUCCAUCUCAGUUAUUUUAGAGGCUUCAUAGAUAGUCAGUUAGAUGUUAGUUCAUUCGUCAUCAUUUUGUUAUUGGCUUAUGUUCAGAUUUGAGUAGCCAUUUUGGCUAAGUUAAAUAUUUAUUUUUAAAACAUUAUGAGUUCAGUUUGAGACAUGUUGAGUUAUCUUGUAUUUGGAUUUUCUUUCUUAUGUUUAAGUCUUCCGCUGAGUAAGUAAGUCAGGUCAAGGGUUCGCUUGGGGCCAACAAUGGUUCUCGAGUGCCAGUCUCGCCCAGGGUGUAGGCUCGGGGCGUGUCAUUUGUUUAUUAUUAUUGUCUUUCUCACAACUUUUCAUCACUGUUAACUCAUGAAAAUAGUAAGAAAAAUUACAAGUGUGAAUUGAAUGAUUUGCUAUAAUUUGUUCACCAACUCUUUCUUAUGUGAUACCUCGAAUUUCAUUGAAUUUUUAACUUAAUUAAUUGUUGCAAAUAACCCUUGAGGUUUUUUAAGAAGAAGAAGAGUAUAAAACUAAAAAAUAAAUUGUAGUUUAAAAGUGUGAGGAAACUCCUCUAUUUAUAGCUAACAAAUAGUAGUAUGAAUAGGUGCUAAUUGUGUCUUAUCAGAAAAGCUACAACCUUUCAAAAAAGUCACUGCUCAUCGAAAAAGUCACAACCCUUUGGAAAAGUCACAACUCAUUGAAAAAGGCACAACCCUUUGGAAAAGUCACAACCCUUUGGAAAAAUCACAACCCUUCGAAAAGUCACAACUCAUCGAAAAUGUCACAACCCAUCAAAAAAGUUGCAAUCUUUUGGAAAAAUCACAACUCUUUGAAAAAAUCACAACUCUUUAAUGUGAAAAGGUAUGUAUUUUUAAUAUAAUACAAAUAAUUAAAUUAAUAAAUAAAAUAAAUUGAGUAUUUUUUAUUAUUAUAGUAAUUCAACAUUCGAGUUUGGGAGUUCAUGUUUUUAAGGUAGUAUAUAUAUAUAUAUAUAUAUAAAAUUGAACUAAUAUAAACAUAAUUCAUUCCAUGUUAAAAUUUUCUAAUGUUAUGCAAUAUUUAUGAACUUUUCUUUAUUUUUUUGCUUUAAAAUAAUAAACUUAAGUGAAAAUUUCAUAAAUAUCUAAGAGUUGAAACAUAAUGAGUUUACUUAGCUAUAGUUUGCCUAAUUACGUAACGUAGUUUUAGUUUCAGUAGCUAUGUCUUACUCUAUUUGUAUAUUUCACUAGAAUUUUUAUUUUUAUACAAACUAGGGAACGUAGCAGCGCUUCGUGCAAGUGGUACAAUAUAUGUGUUAGAAUCAACUUUCUUUUUGAUUAAUUAUAUGUUCACUGUAUUAAAUAUAUUGUCUGCAUUAUCCCUUGAUUUAAUUGUAGGAAGGAGGUAAAAAAAUAUCCCUAAAUUUUUGUUUAAUAGUUGGCUUUACCCUAGAAUAACGGGUCAUUCAUACCCAUUAUCUACAAACCUGUGAUUCGUACUCUUCAAUUGGAUAGAAAACUCUAAAUAAUAUGAAACUACCCAUUUUAAAAAAUAAAUAAUCCAUCAUCCGAUCUUAACUCAUGUCCGACCUCUAACUAUCUUAACCCAAAAAAAUUAAACUCAUGCCCGACAUUGGAUAGAAAAUACUAAAUCAAAUGAAAUUACCCAUUUUAAAAAAGAAAUAAUCCAUCAUCCAAUCAUAACUCAUGUCCGACCUCUAACUAUCUUAACCCAAACAAAUUAAACUCAUGCCCAACUCGUCUAAGUUUAUCUUUCAAUGGAUAGUAAUGAUAGUCAUGACCGUACUUGAACAUAAUGCAAGUUCAUUAUAUUUUAGUAUUUGAAUAAAAGAAAAUGGUGACUGCAAUGGAGCAUGUAAGGAUUCUGUUAUCCUUCAACUAUGAAAGGGUGUGUUAAUUUUAUCAAUGUGUAAUAUGAAAAGGUUAGCCAAAUAUUGACAAACUCAUAACCACAUAUUAGGCUAAUUUAUUAUAUUAAAAUUAGUAUAACUUACCUAAAUCCCAUAGUAUAAGACCCUAAAUUACAUUUAUCCCUACUCUUUUCUAUUUUACAAAAAUCCCUUAAAAAUCAGACAUCCAGAUACAUAAGUUUCCUCAGGAUACAUUAUAUAUGAUACAUCAUAAACUGUUUGUUGCGCUUAAUAUAGAAUAUUCAUGUAAAAUUGAUUUUCUAUCCCACAAAUCACGCAUAACUGAUUUUCUUCCAACAAAUCGGGCAGAACUGAUUUUCUUUUCCCACAAAUCACGCAGACGGAUUGAUAUCAUUCCAUUCCAAUCUGUACAACUUCACAAAAUUCAAAAUCAAAUUUUCAUCUUCUCUAUCAAUUCGAAAUCUUGAAUCUCAAAUCCUCCAUUGUAGAUGAUUGGACAAAUGAUUCACGAUUUCAAAUCAUCAAUUCGAAAUCGGCUAGUAAUUUGAAUUCAAUGUAUCACGCAAAACUAAUUGGACAACCUUGGUUGCUGCUAACAAGAUCCCUCUGUCAACUAGUAAGUUUCUAUUCCCUCUUUUCAUCUUUCGUUAUUAAAUUUUAAUUUGAUUUCAGAAAAGUUAUUUCAUUUCUUGUUAAGAGAAAAUUGAAGAAUUUGAGAAGAAAACAUUAAUGAAAUCAAGAAACAAAAAUGGGAAACAAUCAUCAUUGAUUGAUAUAACGAAUGAUUCCCCCAUUGUUGGUCUUGCUAUGGGGAAUUUAGAGACUCCAUCUUCAGAAAUAUCCAAAAAAUGAUUACUUGUCAAGCUAAAUACUUGGUUACUCCUGGAUCUUGCGAGGAUUUAUUGAGGGGACAAGUUAAGACUUUGUUGCAAAAGGUUGAAGAAGACGUUUUAUGUUGUCGUUUUGAUGUGAACAUGUAAGUCAUGAUACAUUAGUGGUAAACGACGCAUGUGUAUGAUAAUUUUAUAUGUAUAGAUUAUGAUGUGGUCAUUAUUUUGUAUCUGGAUGUGAUUUGUAUAAAAAUGUAUCAACAUAAUAUAUUGUAUAUGAUACAUGUAAUAAAUGGAUUAACAAUUGAGAUGAAUCAAAUAUGUUUUGAAUAUCGAGUGUGUAUCACAAAUUUGUAUAAAUGUAUCAGACUAUUAUUAUGUAUAUUGUACAUAUAAAUAGAGUAACAAUCAAGAUAUGUAAAUUACUUGUUUUGAUCAAGAAAAUUUGUGGAUAUAUAUANNNNNNNNNNNNNNNNNNNNNNNNNNNNNNNNNNNNNNNNNNNNNNNNNNNNNNNNNNNNNNNNNNNNNNNNNNNNNNNNNNNNNNNNNNNNNNNNNNNNNNNNNNNNNNNNNNNNNNNNNNNNNNNNNNNNNNNNNNNNNNNNNNNNNNNNNNNNNNNCUUACUAUUUUUAAAAUUCUUUUGCAAAAACAAAUUUUCAAAAAAUAAAACAAAAAAGGAAGGAAAUAUUCACUUUCUUUUUACGCCAAAAAAAUAUUUAAACUGUGAGAGAAAAUUUUCAAAACAAAAAAGGCACCUUAAUAUCAAAUGAAGGCGUUAUUUAUAUAUGGAACCAUUAGCUAAAUUUUAAAAUAAUAUUAAAUUCUCUUUAUCAUAAAAUUGGCAAUUUGUAUUCUUUUAUUAUAAUAUAUUGUUUAUUUAAAGAAUUAACAACUCCCAAUUCACAUGAAAAUAGAUGUGUUGACUAUCAUAUAUAAUCUAGUUUCAUCAUUAUUUUCAAACAAAAGGUUUCUAAGCAAUUAUGUCUUGGUUAUUCGUUCCUUCACAUUUCUUUGUAUUCCUUUUUUAGUCUUGAUCAAAUUUUAGUUUGAAGUAUAUAAUUAGUUAUAUAUGUACAGUUUAUACGAUAAAUAAGAUUGUUUUUCAAAUAAUGGAUAUGUAUCAUAUACCUAUUGUUGGAUCUGAUACACAGUGCUCCAAUUAUAUAACAUUACGAUUUAUAAAUCAAGAUUAUUAUUGGGUAAUAUGUACAUAUACAUCACAUUCUAAGUUGGAUAAGACCGAAGAGAUAUUAAAGAGUGCAGAUACAUAACACAUAACUGAUUUAUUGUUGUCUAUAUAGCCUUUCAAAUUUGAAUAAGAUUGAUGAUACAUUAAAGAACUUGUUACAUGUAAAUGAUACAUUAUGUAGUGUUUAUGUAUCAACAACAUUUAUAUUGAAUAUGCUAAAACUAAUUGAAUAUUCAACAACAUUAAGGUUAUAUAUCAACACCUUAAAUAUGAAUAUGAUACAUUACAUAAAACAAAAGCUACUAUGACGGUGAUGUAUCAAAUCAAUGACACUAACAAAGGGUAAUUUAAGAAUCAAAAUAAACGAGAUACAUUGGAAAUCUGUAUCUUUUACAGUGAUAGUAGUGUAAUGGUAGAUCCAACUUUUUUCCCUCUUUUUUGGACAUUUUUUCAACAGUAUAUUUAAAGCUCGAGAAUGUGUCCUUCCCCGAUUUCUCCGCUCACAAAUUUAUCACGAAUAUAAUUUGGUAUUGUGUACGGAUACAUAUUCUUCUAAAUUUGGAUAACCGUAGAAGAUACAUAGCAACACUUGAUACAUAAUAAAAUGAUACAUUUGGUAGAGACUACUUCUUUCCAUUUCAUAAUGUAGUUUCACCAGCAAAAAAGGAUCCCCUGGAAACGAAUUGUUUGCAAGGAGCAAUGUGGAUACAUCAUCGCUUUCACCUUUCCCUUAUGCAUUUUGUGAAGGUGGAAAGGGAGGAGAUCUGGUAGUUCUUUGGAAAAAAUGUGGAGCAAAGACUAACUUGGGUUCUUCGAAAAAAAUUGUGGAGCGAUCUUACUGAAAGGAGAGAGAACAAAUCUGAAAAUUAAAAAAUGAAGGAAGUAAAGAUUGAGGGAAAAAUCUGGAAAUUAAAAAAUGAAGGAAGUAAAGAUUGAGGGAGUGAAAAUAGGAAGAGAUUGAGUGAGUAAAAAUAGGAAGAGAUUGAGGGAGUGAAAUAAGGAGUAAAAAUGGGAAGAAAAACGUGUACAACUUGAUGUAUCCGGGAACGAUGGGGUUUGGUAGGAAAAAGAGGGAUUUUGGAAAUAUUUUAAAAUGAUAGGGAAUAAUAGAAAUUAUGAAAAAUAAAGGUGUGUAUAUAGGUAAUUUAUCCUUAAAAUUAAUAUCAAAAUAAGUUACUAUCAUUUCUUAAAAUUGAGAAUUAAUAUCAAAAUGAAGUCUUUCAUAGUGUGAGUUGUGACUACUGAUUAACAAAUUAAUCAAAUGUAAAUGUUCAUUUUUCUUUACACCUUUUUUUCUUGCAAUAAAAAAAAUCAAAGAAAAAUAUAAUAUAAGAUUGAUAAUUAAUAUCAUACCAUAUUUUUAGAAAAGAAAUCAACUUAACAAAACAAAGCAACUUUGUACAGUUCUUUCAACAUCCUAUUCUUUAAAGAAUGAAUGUGAAAAAUAUUCCAUGUUAAAUAAAAACAAUCAAUUUUACUUUGGAAUAUAGAAAUAACAUAAAAAUAAAUAAGUAAUGAAAAAUAUAUGAUAAUUGAAAGAUAUGAGAUGUAACCCACUUUUUUUUCUUCUCUAAAGUCUCUUUUUUGGUAUUUAUUUCUUGGUGUGAAUUGUGACACUAACAUUUUUUAAGGGUGAUUAUUUUUUCAUUUCUCUUAAAUAAAUAAAUUCUAAAAGAAUAAAGAGAUAAAAAAAUGAAAAAGAAAACUAAAAUAAUUUUUAAAAAAAUCAAUUAAAUGUAUCCAUUAUUUAGGAGACCAAAUUCCAAAAUUUGGUAUGACAUUAAUACAAUAUUCUUAAAAUUUAAAAUAGUGCAUUUAUAAGAAAAAGAUAAAAUUGAUACAUUUGAAUUUAUACAGUAGCUAAAUACAAGCUUGCAAUAUACAAAUAUAAAUAAAGUUUGAUAUAUUGCUAUUAAUUGUGUAUCAUAUUUCUAAUGCCUAACUUUAUAUAAUUGUAACGACCCGAACCGUCGUAUUUAGGAGAAACAAAAAAUCCGGGAAAAUUCAAGGCCUUUGUCCCGCCAGAGCAGGGUAGUUGCCGCUAGGGCGGGGUAAGCUAGCGCCAGAGCGGGAUAGGCGAGGCAGAACAUAAAUUACGAGAAAUUCUAUUUUCUCCAUCUUCCUAAAAUACCUUAAUAAGUCGUAAAACACCCUAGAAACCUCAGAAAAGCUGCUCUAAGCUUGGGAAGGAAGGAGAACAAGAUUUCUAAUGUAAGGAUGGUGAUAUCUUGCGGAUUCUUGGCCAAAUUCACAGUCACGACUCUCAGAAAACCGAAAUCGAAGACAGAACUUCGUGCAAUUGCUUGGCGCCCAGGUAGGCUAGGUUUUAUGAAUUGAGUAGUUUAAAUUUGUGCUCAUUGUGUAAUAUAUGUAAAUCGAUGGUAGGAUUUAUGCGUAGACCUUCGUGCAUCGAAUGAUUUAUGAUUUAAACCCUAGAAAGAAGCCUUAGACGAUGAAUUAGGGUUGAGUAUGGUCGAAUUAGGGUUUUGCAUGAAGAGUGUUGAUGAAUAAUCCAUUGUGAGGGUGGUGAUUCCAUGAUUUAGUGAUGUAUGUUGUUCUUGCUUUCAUUGUGAUACGUGUAGAUAUACGAAGUAUGCAGUGUUGACUACACUUAUUGUAAAUAGGGAUAUAUGAAUGACAAAUAGCGCCAUGAAUCAUAAAUUGUUUCUAUGAUUGUGAGAAUAUACUUGCGAUUGUAGUGUGGGGAAUGGAUCGGUUGCCACGUUUCAGCAUAACUAACUUGGAUCGGUUGCCACGUUCUGGCAUAACUAACUUGAAUCGGUUGCCACGUUUUGGCAUAACUAUGGGAUCAGUUGCCACGUUCCGGCAUAACUAUGGGAUCGGUUGCCACGUUCUGGCAUAAUUAUUGAAUCGGGUACCACGUUCCGGUAUGUUAACUGUUUCAAUUUGGGUUCCAUGAGAGGACCAAUGAUAUGCAUAAUUGUGUAGCUUGAGAAAUAUGAAGAUGUUCGUUGUUCGUAAAUGUUGAUAAUGUGGUACAUAUUCGAUAUAUACCUGUGACUAUAUGGUUGUGUUGACUUAUAUAGGUUGCACUUAGUGGAUAUAUGUUAGGACGGUUUAUACUUGAUUGUUCCUUGUGUUAAGCGAACUUGUUAGAUAUAGUGGAAGGGUAAAGUGUUCAAGGGGCGAGUAAUGGAUAGCAAGGGUUGUUCGUGUGUCAUAAUGGCGAGAAACAGAGGUAGGGUACGUGAAGUAAGUGCUUAAGUGGAAUUCACUUGGAGUAAGGUAAUUGUGUUUAGUGGUUAGAAAGCGUGACGUAAUGUACUAUGUGACCAUGGUUGAGUAAGGUGACAAGGAAGUAAGGGUAUGACGUGAGCGGAUAGUUGGGAUGCUUGUAGUGGUAAUUGAGGAUUUGUUAAUGUGUUAGAACGGUUAAGCUAUGAUCAAGAACCUAGUGUAAUUUGGGGAUAUUUUAAGAGAGGGUAAGGGUAGAGAAGUGAGUGGUCUAUUGUAUAUUUCUACUAGUUGGUUUCUUAUGUUAUGUGGUGGGCGUCGGGUUGACCGGUGAUGCCUACCAGCACGUGUGGUUUGUACUGAUACUACUCUUGCUAUGUCUUUUUGACAUAGUCUGGAUGCAGGUUGUUGAUGUUCCCUUAGAUGAAGAUAAAGAACUCUCCAGCAGCUUCUACUCUUCCUUCCGUAUGGUGGGAGCUGUGUCUUUUGUCUAAUAUGUCAGUUUGUACUCUUAGUAGCUCUUGUACCUGUUUAGACUAGACCCUUAGGAGUUGUUAAUUUUCCUUACAAGUUUGGAUGAAAAGUGUGUCUAAAGGAUAUUGUUUAAAAAAAUAAUCAUAUUAUUAUAUUUAUUUCCAUUAUUUCAAAUUUCCGCAUGUUUUAAUUGUUGGGUAUGAGAGUUCUCCUACUUAGGCGGUAGUAUGUAGGUGCCUGCACGGCCCGAUAAGUUGGAUCGUGACAAUAAUUAUAUAGAUAGAUUAGUUAAAAAUAUUAUGUUAUGAAACUAUUUAUAUAUAUAUAUAUAUAUAUAUAAAGAGAGAGAAUUAUAGUAAGCAAAACAUAAAUAUGUGAAGACUAAUAUAUAUAAGACAAAUACAUAUAUGAAAAAAAAGAGACUAAAUCAAAGAAUUGCUUCAUUAAAUCUAAAACGAUGAAAUAUAUAUUAGGCCUUAGUCGAACAACCUCUCUUUUACAAAUAAAAUUAUGAUUUCAAAGAUAUUACAAAGUUAUUCGUAUAACCUUCAUUUCAGAUAAAUCGAUUCUAUGAAAGCAAAAUCAAGAGGCAAUGGUGACAUCAUCAACACAUGCAUCAUAAUUUAUUUAUUUUAUUAAAUUUAAAAAUUUCAAGACAUAUAAUGCCAAAUAAAUUGAUAAAUGAAGAAUAGAAGAGACAUACAUCUCAACGUUUAUUUUACCAAAUUCAAAAUCAAUAUUCCAUUAAAAUACGCACUUAAAAAAAAUACAUUGAAAUCAGAGUAUACACCAACUUUCAAUAUGGAGAAUUUCCUUUUGAACGCAACAAUUACUUUCAAUUGUUUGUUGAUUUUGAACGAAUUUUUAUUGGACACAACAUUGAUACCCAACAACCACAAAUCAUUUUACCUCGUAACUUGUGUGAGCCUCUUCUUAUUCGUAAUAUAUUUAUAUGGUCAUUGUUUGAUGAAUUUAUCACAAUUAAUAUUUGCCUUUUCAGUUUUCAUUCCUUCAUAUUCUAUUCUAUAGAUUAAUUAUCAUUUUUAGUUUUGCCAUUAAUCUUUUUUCAUUUAUGUGAGUUGUCUGUUCAGUUGUCCAUUAUUAAAUCCAAUAAUCAAGAUACAAUUAGAGUUUUUCUAUUUUAAAAUUAUAGAAAUUGUCAAAGAAAAAGAGAAAAUGUCAAAAAAAAAAAAGAAGAGAAAAAAGAUAAAUAUGAAUGGUGAUCAUAUACAGGUAUCACAUCACCAAUUCUAUGUCUAGAUUUAUUAUAUAUAUAUAUAUAUAUAUAGAUUAGUCUAUUGCUAUGUAGUAUUCAUGGACUUUAUCUUUACUUAGGAAAGAGAAUCCAAAUACUAUAUUAAGAGCCUAUUUGGUAUUACCGCUAAAAAAUGCUUAUUUUUAGCAUUUUUUUUAAAAAUAGCUUUUCGAAAAAAGUGCUUUUAAAAAAUAAUAAUUUGUGUUUGGCUAAUUCAAUUGAAAAGUGUUUUUGAGAAUCAAAUUAUAUAUGUUGACACCCAAUUUUGACCCUCCCCGAGAAGAAUUAAUUUCCGAGCUUCUUAAUUUCAAACAAUUUGGAAUAAUUAAUUUGAUAAAAAUUGCAAAUGUUUUUCAAGUUAUUUUUAGGUAAUUUUAGUCAUUUUAUAAUUUUUAAAUAAUAAAUAUAUUUUUAUAUAAUUAGUAUAUUUUAUAAAUAUUCAAAAAUCUCGUCAAAAAGAUUUUACUUUUACAUAAAUAUUUUGUUUAGUUUAAGUUAUAGUUAAUAUUCUUAAAUUAAUUAGUUUGAUUAAGUUAAUUAUUUUAUUUUGUUAAGAUUAAGAAGCUCGUUAAUUAAUUAAUAUCAAUUUGUCUUAUUUAAUUACUAGCCAAAUCUAUCUUAACAAGAUCAAAUUGGCUAAGUUUUUCUAACCCAUUUCAAUUCCCAAUUCCAAUUCAAACCUCCAGCCCACCAUUUUAUUUCCCAGCCAGCCCAACAACUUAAUCCAAAUUCCGUCAGCCCACCCAACUCUUAAUUCUUUUAACACGGCCCACCUUCCCCUUUCCUUCACAAUAGAAACCCAGCAGCCCCAACGUUCACAAAAGCACAGCAGCGAUCAGACGGAAAAGCAACAGCAACAGAAGGCAGUAUUCUGUUUUCUUUGUUUUCUUCUUCAGACGUCCCUUUCAAUUAUUAAUAUCGUAACAGCAGGCAAUAGGCACGCGUUUUUCUCCCCUUUCCUCUUCCGGAAUGGGUUGAAAUCGCAAGGAAAAGGUGUCUCUCCAAAAGGAUGAAAGAUUUUCGAUUUUUAAAUUGUAAAUGGGCGACCUUGAAUCCGAUUUCAUCCCUUUCCCACCCAAAGAUUUCGAACCCUAGUAGUCUCCUAUAUAUAUUCUCCUCUUAUUCAUUGUAAAAGGGGGGAGAGUUGGAAUUUUCUUUUUUUUUAGCGAAAAUAUAAAGAGCAACUUAAGUGGAAGUAGUCUGAUAAUACUCCGAAAGAGAGGAAAUCAACUCGUUUAGGAUCUUUGCGUUCUUUUCUCUCGUCAGUGUCGUCCACUGCUCUGUCACAAGUUCCCUUUGAACUCGAGGGAACUAUUGGGAUAUUCUUACCCAGAUUUCUUGGUUGUUGUUUGAGUUCCGAAGUUGGUGGUAAAGUCACGGUUCUCACUGCUCGUUUGGUCUCAGUUGGCUCCCCCGAAAAGGUAACACUCUCUACGACCUUGGUUCAGUUUCGCUUUAGAUUACAAUGACUUAUUUGUGUUGUUUUCUUGGUUGUUAUGAAGAGUCCUUAGCGUGAUUUUCUGGCAUUGUUUAAUUUAAGUUGUUACGCAGUUUUAGUUUGGAUAUAUUGAUCUAGUUCGCUUGUUUAAGUUCUAAAUCAUAGCGUAUGAUUAUUUUUUUUGGCUGCAACCUUUAGGCUCGUCUAAAAUCGAUUUCUUUGCUGCUUGUUAAUCUUACUUGAUGUCCAUGAUUUUGCACCUAGUAUGAAUUCUUUUCAUGAUUAGUUUCGUAUUGGUUCGCCCUUAUUCCGAUUUCUCUUUCUGUGUCAAAGUUUGUUGUCAUAUAUCUUUGUUUUUUCAUCUUCGAAUCUUGCCGUGAUUGACUUGUUAAGACUGUUCUUGAGCUAGUUUUGAGUUGCUGAUGUUUGGCUAUUUCUCUCUCAUUAACCUGACUUCGUUCCUCUUUUACUGUUUGGUACGCCAUAAUGUUAAGUUUACGCCUCCCUUUCGUUUAGAAUUAGUCAAAAAAGAAAUGCUUAUCUACCGGUAGAGUUGGUCUGAAAUCCAAGUUUGUUUUCUUGUUUUCUCUCUUGUUCAAAUCUUGGUUUUGUUGGAAUUUGGUCCUAAAGGUCACUUGAGGUGUGAUGUCUUUGGCGUUAAUCUUUCAUGGGUGUGACGAGUUGACUUCUUCGGUAUAAGGUCAAUAGUGGUGAUUUGGCUACGUGCUAUGUGACUCAUUUACUGGUUUAUUUCUAUGUCUUAAUGAAUUUUUAAUUAAUGUGUAAAGGAGGUUUUAUAGAAUGGUGUGAGUUGAAGGAAUCAUUUUGGGUCUAAUCAAAAUUGUCUUCCUUUCUGUUUAGGAUUUGUUGUUUGUUUUUGGUGUAUUUAUCUAAGCUACUUAUUCAUUCGCUAUAGUUUAAGGUGCUAAGUGGUAAUUCCCUUGAUACAUUUAUUAUUUGGGAUUGUUUAAGCAUUGUUAAACCAUGGUUUGGAGAUAUUAUUAUUGGGUUACUAAUUUUAUUUCUCAUUCUUAUUGCAUGUAAAUCUGCUCGAGUCCUCGUGGACUCUACCCUUGCAUUUUCUCAUUAGGCCACGGAGGCCCAAUCCCUUAUUCGAGUCUACCGGCCAUUUAAAAUCGACGAACAGGUCCCGAAGUUGAAAGAAGCAACAAAUCGAGAAAUUGAAAAGAUUGGGCUAAAGUCCCACUCUUAAUUCCGAAAAAUUUGUAUUUUGGGCCUAAGCCCACUUAUCUAUUGUCUUGCUAGAAUUUAGGACAUGUGCAGAUGACUCAAAUGGGCCCAAAUACUGUCCCAGGCGGACAGGAAAACCAGAUUUGGGCCCAAGUCUCUUUCCCUCUUUAUUUUAUAGCAUUUAUUUACUUGUCAAUAUUUGCUACUAAAUCUUAAGCAGAUGACUCAAAUGGGCCCAAAUACUGUCCCAGGCGGACAGGAAAACCAGAUUUGGGCCCAAGUCUCUUUCCCUCUUUAUUUUAUAGCAUUUAUUUACUUGUCAAUAUUUGCUACUAAAUCUUAAGGUUUUAAAAAGAAAAUCCCCAAAAGAUACCCGUUUUGGUUUUAUAACUUAAUUAAAUCAAUCACCUUUAACGAGGCCUAAAAAAUUAAUUUUUCAAAAUAUUUCACUUAGAUAAAAUCUUAAUAUUUCCCAUUUCCCGGUCCUAAUUAUAACAAUUGUUCAAAAUCAGAUUAAGUCAAAUAAAUUUAGCCAAAUAAUUAAUUGCCGGAUAACCGCGUAUUAGCGGGCAUUUCGGGUGCUUUCAAACCCGUCCCGAAAUGCUAAUAAGAACCUCAAACCCCCCUUGAAUAUUUUCAUUAGAUUUCUGUUUUAAUCUUUUGAAAAAGUAGUUUUCUUGAUUUUUCUUAAAAAUUAAGUGACGACUCUUAAAACCAGUUAAAUUAUAUUUCCGAAUAAAAUAAUAUCUAUAUAUAUAUAUAUAUAAAGACAAGUAUCAAGGGAUGGUUGGCAAAAUAGCCACUUUGAAAACUUAGUGGUCUUGAUCUUGAGUUGUGUUUUAAACUUGAAUGCUUGAACUUAUAGCUUGUUGAGAAAUUUGUGACAUUUGAUCCACAGAGUCUCUCUGCUUUUUGUUAGAAUUAUGGAGAAUUUUGUGAAUUAUGAGCAUCCCUAUUUAUAGUUGUCGAAUGAAAGAUAUGUGAUGAGGACGGACUUCAUUCGGACAAUCAGAUUAAAGAGACAUGGUGAUACUUAAUUGGUCGGAACAUGUCACUUGUACAUACGUAACACAUUUUUAUUGAUCUUUGAUUUGGCUAUGCAUGUUAAGUCAUUUUGACAUGUGGCAUGAUCCUAUUUGCUUAUUCAUUUAACUUGACCUGCUACAUCAUUUGACAUGUGACAUCAAAUUGGGUCUCUAGAAUAAGAUGCCAUAUUGAGCUAAAAAAGGUGGGUUCAUCAUUUGUAACCUAAUUUGAUGGACUAGAUCAAUGAAAUUCGACUUUAAUUAAAUCCAUAUGUAUUGAACUUAAAUAAUUAAUCCAACUAUAUUAAUCCACAAUAUUUAUUUAGACAUUAGGAUAAUUUUAUGAAUUUAUAUCUUAUAAAUUUUAAAUGAUUACACAAUAUACACAAGUAAUAAUUUAAUUAUACAAGACUAAGAGUACAAAUUUGUUUAAUGGGCUAGAAAAUUUAUUUAUCAUGUCAAUUUAAUAUACUGAUCUCUACUUAGUAUGUUAAAUACAUACAAAAUAUAUUAGCACAAAAAAGAUAAAACUAUACCUCUUCCAUAAUUAAGAUAAAUAAUAUUUAAUCUUAUGCACUUUGUUCAAUUUUCAUAUUUAGAUUGUGAACCUAAAUUUAUACUUACAAAAGUUAAUAAUUUAAUAAUCUUUCAUAUAUAAGCUAAACUUUAUAAACUAAAUCAUCUACUAUAGACAUACAUAUGAAUACAUGAUCUACUAAAUUUUUAUUAAAAUUAAACAAAUAAUUAUUCUAUACUAAAUAUUAUUUCAAAUUACAUAAUUAAUAACAUAUAUCCCAACCAUCUGAACACCUAGAGCCACCACACACUUCUAGUGAUCAUUUGGAGGCAUCUGUUAUAACUUGAGCUAAUAGCCUAAUACCAAAAAAAGAACUUGUUUCUUCUUUUGUUUCCCUAGUAUUUCUAUUAAUUCUUCAACAUCAACUCGAAUUCUUAAUUUAUCGGUUGAGGUGAACUCAAAAUUUAAAGACUUUGGUGUACCAAUAUUAUCUUAAUUUAGCAUUAGAGAAACUUUCAAUGGUCAAGGUGGGUUUGUUCUACUUAAUGAUCAGUUCGAACCCUUAUCUAGCAAUUUUAAUGUUAUAAAUAAACCUCCUUUAAAUUUAGAACUUAUAAAUGAUUCUGGUUGGGCUCAAACCAAGGUAGCGAGGGCGAAUACUUCGGUCUGUACCAGUCGUACAAAGUGUCAUUCUAUACUUUUCAAAGAUAACGGAUGCAUGUGUACCCUUACCUAUGUAUGUAGGUUCGCCUCUGUUUAUCGAAAAUGAAACUGCUCAACUAUUGAAAUAAGUCUCACUUGUCAAACGGUAGACUUCAUUAAGGGUAUGACUUAUUAUAAUAUAAAGUUGAAGAGCAAUGUAAAACUCAAAAUGUUGAGCUAAUUAGAAUUUGUGAUAGCCCAUCAAGAAAAUGAGAAAUAAAAACAAAAAGAGAAAAAUGACUUCAAAUUGUCUUAAUCCUUACUCUAAGACAAAUAAAACUUGUUGCUCUCAUUGCACCAACUAGCAUGCAUUAUUUUGAUUGAUUCAUACGAAACCUCCUACUUUAAUUAUUCCUUUAAUUUUUAUCUCCACCUUAACUUUCUUUAUUGAACUUGUGAGCAUAAACAAAAAUAAUAUUAUUCUUUCCCUCCUAAUUUAUGUACUACUUUUUAAAAUUAAAUUAAAUUAGAUCAAUUUAAUAUUUUAAUAUAAAAAUUUAGAUAUAUGUACUAUAAGUUACCGUUCUUCUUAUGUCAAUAUAAUUAAAGUUGUAUUUUAAAAUAUUAAUCAAAGUUCGUAUUGUUUGAAUUUCGAAAAGCAAAAAAUAUCAUAUAAAUUUGGAUAAAAUGAUUAUAUGACUACUCAUUUAGAUAUUAUGAGAUUUUUUUAAAAAUAAAAUAAUCCAAAAACUCACAAAAAAGGUGAAGGGAGUAUUAUUUUUUAAAACUAUUAAAGAUUAAGGAGAUUACAUAAAAUUUACUCAAAGAAAAGACAAAGAGUACUAUAAACAACCAAAUCCCCAAACCAUAUACUCCCUCAAAUUUAUUUUAUGUAGUACUAUCUUUUUAUUAAUUUAAUCUACUUAAAAGGUGACAUCAUUCAGUAAUUAAAAACAAUGAAAUCUUAAAUAUCAUUUAUAUUUAAUACCACGUUUUUAUAAUUACAUAAAUUUUAUGAUAUACUUCUAAAACUAUACCACCUACCAGUCCACCACUGGUGUAUUAGCUUCGCAGUAUUUUUUUUAAAAAAAAUAAGAAGAGGAGAAGUGUGACUUAUUUUAGAUGUUUUAAGUAAAAUAAUUUUUACAUAUUUUAUAAUAUUGGAGUAAGAUGAAUAGGAGGGUAGAUGGUUGAGUUGGUUCAGAUUUUUUAAAUAUCAAAUUAAAUUAUUUGUGUUAAAUUUUUAAAUUCAUGAACUAAAGCUAAUAAAACUCAGGUUUUUCAACCUCGAGUUUUUUUGAUCAUUUUUAGAUUUUUUCGAUAAAGUAUUAUAAAAAUAUAUAAUUAACUUGUGCUCCAAAUGUUGUUUUAGUCCUACCAAUAUACAACUAUCUAAGGUGUUUCUUAAGAAAAUAACACAAAAUAUGAUAUCAAUGCUGACACUAAAAUAUUCAACAAAAAAUAAUAAUGAAAACGCAUAAAAUAAAUACUAUAAAUUAAUAAGACAUAAUGAAAAUGAUUAUAAUUUAAAAGUACUCAAACAUUGCUAAAAUAAGUCUAAUAAGUAAUAAGUAUUUAAGUACAUGAUUAAAUAUUAAAGAAAACUUAAAAUUAGGUUAUGUAUCAUAAAUGUUUAAGCCAAUGUAAAGCUAAAGAACAAAUAUUUAACAUUAUUGUCACUCUUAGUGUUGAAUUAAUUUAUUUUGUUACCAUCAAUACUAAUUUGAUUUUGAUUCGAGCUUAAUUAGAAUUACUAAUAUCUAUGGAUUAUAACAUUUAUUGGACCAUUCAAAAUUUCAAGUAUCAAAAUCUAGAAAUAAUAUGAUAAAAGAUUACAAUUAUGAAAAAAUAUAAGAAAUAUUUAGAAAUUAUAUUAAAGUAAAUAUUUUUAUGUAUAAAAUAAAUUUUAAAACUAAUAUAUAUAUUGUCGGAUUAAUUUGACCUCAUGGUGAUUUUUUUUUUUUAGUUAAAAUCAAUCAACUCAAGUAUAGUGGUUUUUUUUUUCAAUACCAAAUCAAGUCAAUCAAAUCAUUAGUCGAAUUUUAUUCAAUUUGACUUGAUUCAAUUUUCGGUUCAAUUUCGUAAUUUCAAAUAAAAUAAUAAAUUCUAACUUGUAACUUAUGUUAAAAAAAUUGUAUGUGUGUUUUAAAGGAAAUUGGAAGACAAAAUUAGGAGGUGAGAUUAAUAUAAGUCCAAGGAAGUGAGCAAAAUUAGGCAAGUCCAGCCAAACGCCCUUUUAUUAAAUAAAAGAAGAAAAAUGAAAUACGUCGAUUUUUUGCUGGAAAGCAGACGUCACCAUCAGCGGUCAUUGUGUGUGUGUGGGAGUCCCAUCUAUAUAUACUUCCAUUUAUUACUUUCUCCGUCUAUUUUUAAUUUUUUGAUAUAUUAUUUUGAAAUGUCUAAUGGUAAUAUUUAUCUAAUUUAUAAAGUCAAUAAAAGAAUUUAUGAUUUUGUAUUUAUUUUAAUCUUGAUAUUAAAUAUUAUUCAUUUUUCUAAUAGGAAUGAAUUGAUAUCAAUUACUACUUUUUAAUUUACGAGUUAAGUUAAUAAUAGACAGUGAAGAGGAAGGAAGGAGAGGGAAUAUUAGUUAUAUAAAACAAAAAGGAAGGAAGGCAGGAAUUUGGUGAAUAAGAGUGGCACUCCAUUACAGCUGGAUAAUGUCUUGUUGUGUGUGGGUUAACUUUUCACAUGACAUCUUUUUUAUUCAACUGAAAAUGCUUAUCUUUAUCUCCUCCUUUCUUGUGAGUAACACCUAUUUUCUUGCUUGCUUGUGUUAAUUAGUAUAAUUAUAAUUAUGUUUUGCAGCAGAAAAGAAGACAAAAACAAGUGUCUGCUUGCAUGGUGGUUCUACGUAUUUGUCUUUGUAUCUUCCACUAAAUUAUUAGUCACUCACGAACGAGUACUGACUACUGACUUAAUUUUACACAGAUUCUCCUCGAAUAUCGCACCAGGUAUCAUCAAAUGCAUUUGGUCUUUACCAUAUAUUUGUGUAAAACACAGUAAAUAAAAGUUUUGUUAUUCUCAUUUUUAAUAUAUCACUGUUAAUCACGUGUUUUCUUCAUAGAUGUUAAGCCUAUUAAACUGAUGAGAUUUAUUCUUGCAGUUGGAACAGAAGUACAACAACAACUAUUACUGCGCCUAAUUAAUUCCUACACAAGUUGGUAGCGCCUAAUGAAAUUUGUUUUGAUUUUCAAUUCUUCUUUCUGAUAGAAAUAAUUAGUAGCAUGGAGGUGUGUUCAAACUUUUGAGGAAAGAAAAUAUGGAACAGAGGUCUCUUGAAAGAGUUGUUUCACAGAGGGCUCUGCAAAUAGGAAGCUCAUUUCCAUGCCAAAUUUGUGUGCUUGGCUUUCUAUCUGGUGUUUGUCUCACUUCUUUAUUUCUUGCUUCAUUUGGUGGCCUUUCACUUUCAUCUCCAAUUUCAACAUUCACUUCUUCUUCAACAACCUUAAUAAGUAAGUAGACAUCAUUUUUCUUCCCUUCUCUUUCAAUGUUUUUGUUUUUGUUGAUAAUGAUGGAGCUUAGCUUGAUUGUUCUAUACUUAUAUAUUCGAUGAUAUUGAAGGUUUCAGUUUUGGAUAUCACCAAGAGUGUUUUUUAAGCAACCUAAGUUUGGAAUUAUUUGAAUUUCACCUCUUUUCUUUUUAUUCAAAUCCAAAUAAAGCCUCUACUUUGACUGUUGUCAUACCUUUCUAUUGAGAACAGAGGUCACCGAAGUUGCUUGGAUUUUUCACUCUGUGUCGACACGGGUGUUGGUGUAGGUGACCCAUUUUGGGCACUUUGAUCAAAAUCAAUGGGAAAAUUCUGGACAGUUAAUGAUUUUUGUGAUCAAUACAAAAACUAAGUUGAAAUUGAAAAAAAUGGAAUACCUUUUCUAUGUCACUCCUUUUCCUUGAAUCUCCUUCAACGUUUCUCCACAUAAUAUCUCAUAAUUUAGGUUUUAUAACUCUAUUUUUGGUGAAUCCCCGUACUCAUAUCCAUAUCCCCGAAUCGUAAAAAUGAAGGAUCCGACCUCUAGAUCGGCAACCAUAUCGGACACCAAUCUCAUAGACAUAGAUAGGAUAUUGGAUUAGCAGCGGCAUGACUGCUGACAAAUUAAAUCAAACUAUGGGAUUUAACUACUUUGCCUAGUCAUUACAAUCUAAAGUUAGUGCAAUAGAAAACAGUAAUUAAGCUAGUGUUUAUUAACGUCCUGUGUUGUGACUCUACAGAUAUUCCCAGUAUAGUAAAUGAGAAGAAAAUUGGUUGUGAUCGUCGUCUCUUAAGCACUAAACAACAUAUUAUUACAUCUUCCUGUCACUAGUACACAACCAGAAAUGAAUCUUAUGUACUGACCUUGUUACAGGUGGAGAUUGCAAUGUUAAACAAAAGAAUAUAGAAAGGCGGUUCUUUUCCCACGAAAAGUUGGCACUGGGGGUACAUGAGAGGGUGUCAUUACUCUACUCAUCUUGGGGUAAUUUAGUGAAUCAAUCAGCAAAUGAAGGCAAAUCCAACUUACCAAAAGCACCUCAUUUGGAGGACUGCAAGCUAAGUGCAGAAACAAAUGAACGACUUGAUACCCGACUUCAAAAUGAUAGCUUCCCUCCAUGGACUAUAUGGAAGGGACAGUUAGAUAACUUCCCGUGGACAGCUGAAGGUGAACAGCUUCGAUAUUAUAGACAUCAAACAGUAUCUGAAGGAGCUUAUCCUCCCUGGGUAUGUUAUUUUCAUGCAUUACUUCUAUGCAUAACCCAAUUUGUAAAAGAAUGAAGAUACACCUGUACUAGACAUUUUUUCUUAUUAAAAACUGUUAAAUAUAGUACCAAAGAGCAUUUCAAAUAUAAGAAUGAAUUGCAGAUCAAGGGCUCAGAUGAAGAGAAUUACCCUUUAACCAGGAAGGUGCAACGUGACAUAUGGCUCCAUCAACAUCCUUUGAACUGCAGUGAUGGAAAUGUAAAGUUUCUGAUAGCUGACUGGGAGAGAAUACCCGGGUUCGGUAUUGGUGCACAGAUAGCUGGAAUGUGUGGUCUUCUUGCAAUAGCAAUCAAUGAGAAAAGGGUUCUUGUUACGAGCUAUUAUAACCGUGCUGACCACAAUGGUUGUGAAGGUAGUUCUAACUGUCACUGCAUGUUCUUUACACUUUUAUAUCCCUUUGGGUCAUCCAGUUCAACAACAAUUGACCAAAUAUAGUUGUAGAAACCACAGGAGAUUUGAGAGCACCAAAAAGUGAUAACUUUCCUAUUAGUUUGAUUCUAUAGCAUACGUCUUGUUUUGUUGUUAAACCUUCAAAAAUUGAUUGGUCUCUAAACAAACAUUAAAUUAUGCAGUGUUAAGUAAGACUAUGGAGUUUCUUCCUUAAUGUAUUUUGAAGUUGAUACAUGAUAUUGAUAUGUUACUUUAUGUAUGUGUAUAUGGCUAUUGGCGUGAAAUUCUAUCAAUAUUGCCUUCAUAGGUUCAUCACGCUCCAGUUGGUCUUGCUACUUCUUUCCAGAAACAUCUCCGGAAUGCAGAGAUCGUGCUUUUGAGCUCAUGAAACACAAAGAAGCAUGGGAAAAAGGGAUCAUAACGAUAAAAGAAAACUAUACGUCUAAAGAG
RNAcentral lists this long non-coding RNA (68037 nucleotides) under Solanum tuberosum (potato). RNAcentral's name for it is "long non-coding RNA (STUB_LNC006304)". Lineage: Eukaryota; Viridiplantae; Streptophyta; Magnoliopsida; Solanales; Solanaceae. The record is from RNAcentral.